UUGAAAUUGUAAUUUUUAUAUAUUACUUCACAUGGGCAGAUUCAUCAUCACUUAUUCUAUUUUUCUAGGAUAAACUAUUUCUUUAAGUAGAAAUGGUCGUAGAAAUAACAUACUAAUUCUUUGAGUAGAAAUGGUCAUGGGAAAAAUCAAUCCAUGGAUUGCAAUUAAUUGUCUUUUUAUUAUUAAGUAUAUAGUAUUGACUUAUUAUUACCGAGCCCACACAUUUCUCAAGUCAUCAUCUAUAGCAAAAGAGAACUCCCAACGUUUUCCAAUGCUUUUGAAGCUUGUCGACAAUAUCCUUUGAGGAAUAACACUUAUCCCCUUUAUUCAACACAAGCCUGCCCCAAAGAUUAUGCUUCCAAAUCUCCAGCCCUCAUAUAUUGGCAUCCUGUGUAAUCUUAAUCGAAAGAAUUUCCCCACGAAUGGAUGGAGUGGGAAGUGGUUCAGUAGCUGACACCCUCGCUGCUGUAAAAACCCGUCGUGCAAAGGAGAGCUGCUGUUUUGGUGGUGUAGUAGAAGGAAAAUCUACCUUAUUGUUAACGUGAGAAGUUUCUGAAGGAACCUUGUUAGCAAAGAAUUCGGACUGCCAAUCGAAGGUCAUGGGUGAUAAUUGCAAUCAGAGCUGCUAAAGUGGAAUUUGUCCAAUCCGUGCCUGAAGAAACCCAAGCGUUGUAAUUUUUUUUCUUUUGUAUUUGGUGUAUGAUAUCAUCAUUGGCACCAAGCGGUGUAAUUCCAAUUUUUUUUUUAAGUAGGCUUAAAUGAAUUAUAUUACCACGACAAAGACCCUCCUGGCACAAGAUGGUGUAACAAUUGGAUAACAAUGGGAUCAACAACGUUGUAAUUUGAAAAACUGCCCUGAACAAGAAAAUCCAACAACUAACAAGACAACAAUCACAAAUGAAUGGAGAAUUGAAUUGGAUUUGGAAUUGACAAAUGAAUGUGGGAUGGCGCUCAUACAAGGAGAACCCUAGCAGAGCAUCUAUGCAAGAAUUCCUUUUUACACUACGAUGAAUUGGAAUUGUAAUUCAUUUUUUACUAUACAACGAUCAACCUAUUUAGUGUUUACAUAGACCAUGCUUCUCUGCUUCAAGAUGCGAUGUAACAUCCUGCAAUUUCCUCUCCAUAAUUAAUUUUAACUAUGACCCAAUUUUGUAUUGUAAAGUGAUGCAUAUAAGUUGUUUUCUCAUAUUUUAGGAUUUAUGUUUUUAUGUGUAAUAGUAGGAGUGUAUGAGUAGUGGGGGGUGCACCUAGUAAUAAGAUAUUGAACCACCUCUCACAUAAGUGGCUGAACAAUCUCUCACAUUCCAAAUAGAAAAACAAAAAAAAUAAAAAAACAGACACAAAAACAAACGGCAACCUUCUUUCUCUAUUCUCUCUAUCAGCUAACCUAAUUUCACCAUCUCCACAAUUUUAAACCACCAAUUCUUCCAUAACUAUCAAAUAAAAUCCACAUGGAAGAACAAAGUUGGAUUAAGCAUGUAAAUUUCAGUCUACGAAACUUAAAAAAAGAGAUUGGAAGCAAAUAGUAGCAUUGGGUUUAGGGUUUAUAAAGGAAUAGAGCAGGUCCAUCCAAAAUUAGCAAAGGCAGGUAGAAUUUGAGAGAAGAAACAAGGUUUGAGAGAAAAAGUCAUUGUAACACCCUAUUUCCCAACGAUAAUUAUUAGAUAAUAAAAUAAAUUUAAUAUUUAGGAUGUUACAAAACUUCACAUGAUUUCACAUAUUAGCAUAAAUUUUCCUUUUAAAUAAUAAUUUCAACAAUGGAAAACAAUCAUCUGAUCUCAUUAAUAAAAAUUUCUCUUGUCGUUCGACAUCAAAAUAAAAAUAACAACAGUUCUCAAGAUUUAAACUUAACGAUAAAUAAAUUCAACGUCAACUCCAACCCUAGUGUUACAAUAUCAGAGCUCGUAGCGACUACAUUCAUAUUCAACUACCAAACAACAUAACUAAACGGAGGGCAUCUCAUCGUCUCCACCUUCUAAAACGUCCCACUGCUACUCCUCAGCAACCUGAGUAUCUCUACUCAAAGUACAUUAAAUAAGGGGUGAGAAAUCCUGCCAUAACAUAAUAAUAGGGAAAAGCACGCACAUUAAAUAAAUUUCAUAGGAAUACAAUUUCUACUAUCGCAUCACUCUCAACGGUUAUCAUGUAUAGCCUUUUCUUUUCACAAAUCACGACAACACAUUAUUUUCACACAUAAACAAUUAGCAUAAACAUCAACAAUUACACAUCAUCCAUGACGUCACCAAAUCACAAAAUAUCAUCCUAUAUAUGCGAAGAUGCAACUCUUUCCUAACACCUAUAUGCAUGCCGGUAUCGGUAUCUACUCAACAAAAUUGUAUGUCAAUGUUAUGUUAGUGAACAUACACGUCACCAGAAUCGUCACCAGAAUCUUAAUCAUGAUAUGAUGCAUGAAUAAAUUCAUUAAAUACAACACCAUAGAAUUUACAUAUUUACUCACGAAUAAUGUCACCAGAAUUUAUAUGUUUUGCUCAUCAUUAUCGUCACCAGAAUUUAUAUGUUUUGCUUAUCAAUAUCAUCACCAAAAUCUAUGUUUUGUUCAUCAAUAUCGUCACCAGAAUUUGUAUGUUUUACUCAUCAUUUACUUCACCAGAUUCUACACAUUUUUCUCAUCGUUACAUCACCAAAAUCCACAUAUUUUACUUAUCAUUGCAUAACCAGAAUCUACAUAUUAUAGCUCGUCAUCCCUUAACACUCUCAUAAUAUUGAACUCAUCGAUUACCCUAUUCUUCAUUUUUAGUUUAAGAUUUUACCUCAGUGUUAUCAUUAUGUUAUCAUUACUUAUAACGACUUCAAUAUUUACAACUAAAACUUUAUUAUAUUUUAAGGCUCUAUCUCCCUAUUAUCAAUCACCUUUGACACCAUUAAUUAUCAUAAACCACUAUCCCAUAUUUUCAAUUAAAUCCGUCUUAUGCUCCUCUAGUUAAUUCAUAUCUUAGGCUCACCAUUGCUCUAAAGGAAUCUCUUCUAAAACACCUAGAUAUACGUCCCUCCCUUAGGAAUCACUUCUUUCAUUUUUAACUUAAGGUCAUUAUCUCAUUAUUAUUAUUAUUACUCUUAACAUCAUCAAUUAUCUUAAACGACCACACAUUAUUCUUCGUUUAUUAUAAUCUUGUACUCCUCUAUCUAACAAUUAUCUUAUUAAUUAAUUAAAACUAAAGAUUUCAUUCCGAAACUAUUAACCUACACAGUAAUUCUACUUUGAAUAUCAAAAAUCUAUUUAUAUCGUCGCAUUUCUAACUCUUUCUGGCCUGCUUAAUAAACCAAGAGACCAACUACUGAAAGUGCUACAUAGUUUCUACUCCUUAAAAAUCACAAAUCCAUAGUUUCCAGUCCUUAAAAAUCACAAAUCCUAAUGUGCCGUAAGAAAUUUUCAUUCGUCCCAAUAUGGCUACACCAAAAAAAUUAAAUUAAGAUAUCUAAAACCCUCACGCAACCAGCAACUCAAAAUACCCAAUUCUUAUUUCUAUCUAUGGCUUGGCAGUACCAACACAUAGUAUAGUAUGCAAGAUUCCCAUAUAUAUCUCUUUGAAUCAUAGCUAGCUUACUUUUGGAAUUCUACUUUUAUCUUUUAAUAAACCAUUCGAUUGAUAACAAAAAUGUGAGAAAAUUAAGGUCACGCAUCACACUUCAUGGUUGCAUUAAAAUCUGAAUCCAUAUAUAGUUCUCUUAAACUACACUAAUGCUCUCGUAGAUGUUUAAAAGGUUAUGCUGAAUUUUCAUGGAAAACGCAGCAUGACUUACAUGUGGUAUUUUAAUCAUAAGUAAAGUUCUAAAAAUUUAAAUGGAGUCCAACCAAAAAGAAACUGAAAGCUAACAACCAUAUAUACAACUUCGAUGAAGUCGCUCAAACCUAAUUCGAAACAGAGAAUGGUAGAAAAGUUGAUUUUCCUAGGCUAGGGAAAAAGCACAACCUUGCUGAUCCCAGCUGAUCCCUGUGUAGUAUUUUGAUCAUAUAUUGAAUUCUAGAUGCUUAAAUCGAGUCCCUUCAAAGGUUGGUGAAACUAACAUCCAUAUCUACAACUUUUGUGAAUACACCUAAAUCCAUUUCAGAACUUAAAGUUGCCAAAACAUUAAUAAACGCACGGUGACAGCAAAAUCGCAGUUCUUCUGCGAUUUAACUUUGGGGAACCCUUUUUGACUCCGUUUUCGAUCAUAUACUCUCUAAAAUCGGCCCUAAUCUUUAUCCCAUGAUUACCCUAUCAUUCAAACAUUAACUAUUUGUUAACCUACCAGAUUAUAUACUCAUCUUAAGUCUUAAAAAAACUUAGAUUCAAAAACAAUAAAUUAGUUUUCCUCAAUUCUCAUUUUUCAACUUCAUCUUUUAUUUCGUUCAUCAUAAAUCUCUCAUCAAAAUCUCACAUAUUAACAACAACAUCAUAUUAAGAAUUAAAAGACCCCGUCAUAUAUUAAGAGACCCUAAAGUGCAAAGAUUUUCCCAUUACCUCGAAUUCUCCAAAACGCGGUGUUUGGCUCUCUUCUUCUUAGCUAGGGUUUCCUUCUCUCCUCUCUUCUCCUCUUUUCUUUUCUCCCGUUCAGCAAGAGUGUUUAUUCUGAUUUUCUAUCUCUCUAUUUAUACUAACAAAACUAGAUUACUUAUUAUUAUUGUUGUUGUUGUUGUUGUUGUUCUUGUUGUUGUCCCCUCCACUUAUCACAAUUUAAUCCCUCCUCCUCCGCUUAUUUUAUUACUUAUAUUCCCCACCUCCCAUCUCCAUUAUAUAUUAUUGGGUUAAAUAUGUUAUUGGUCCCUAUAAAUAUACUAACUUUUCGUUUUAGUCCCUCUUAAAUUUUCCUUCAACUUUUAGUCCCUAAAAAAUUUUCCAUCUUCACUUUUGGUCCCUCUUUUAAAGUAAACUCAUAUGUAGAAUUCAUAUUUUUGAAUCAAAUUUUUUAGAAAAUUCAUAAUAUUAAAAGAAUCUCUCCCAAAAAAAAAUUAGAAUUUUUUAACAAAACAUGAAUUUAAUAUGAAUUUUUAUAUUAUUUAUGGUUAAAAAUUCGGUGGAUUCUAGGGUGAGGGUUCAAUUAAAUCCCUCACCGGUGGACCAUGAACAAAAUACCAUUAGAUUUAAUUAAUGGUUUAGAUUUUUUUAAAAUAAAAAAUGAGAAGUAUUUGGAUUUUUACACACGAUCGUGUCCCUUUCAGGUUUUCUUCCCUGUGUCAAACUACACGUCUGGUUUCUUUAAUUUUUUAUUAAGAAUUUAUGCUUUGAGUUACAAUUGUUGCAAGUUACAACCCCUCUCUACAAAAUUAAUUCAUCACCUCCAUGUUUUCAUUCAACGUAUUAAUGAUUUGAUAAGUUAAAAAAAUAAUGAACUUUUCAUCCUAAAGGAAUGAAACGCUCAUUCUCUGCAACAAUUUCAACACUGGACUCGCUGAUAAUUAUUUGAAAGCUUUUUCCUUAAAAAAAGUUAUGAAAUAUUGAAUGGGUUGUUCUUCAUGGCAUUGAUAGAAAUGGAAUAACAUGAAGAAGGGUUAUGCGCUUGUGCAUACAGUCACCGAUGGGAUGGGAGAAAAGGCUAGAAGAAGAUGGAAGGGAGGGAAGAGACAAAAAAUCUAGUGCAUACGGUGUAUAAUAAAAUAUGUGCACUUGAUUAAUCUAACGACUUUUUAUGUAGAGCUGUCAAAACGGGCCGGGCCUUACGGGCCGGCCCGUUUAGCCCGAUUAAUUAUAGGGCUUGGGCCUUAAAUAUUGAGCCCGAAUUUUAAUAGGGCUUUUUAGCCCGGCCCUAAAAAGUCCGGUACCCGUUAGGGCAAGCCCGAACGGGCCGCGGGUAGCCCGUUAGCCCGCAUAACAAAAAAAUCCUAUAAAUUAUAUAUAUUUUUCAAAUAAUUCUUUACUUUGUUGAUUAUCAAAGUAAAAAAUAAAAGUGAAAAUUCAAUGAAUUAACACAUGAAUGUAAUAUAAAAUUAUAUUUACUCGUUUCGUUAUUUAUAUUAAAGAUCAAAUAUAUAAAUAUCUAUAACUUUUUUUAGGGAAGUAAAUAUCUAUAACCAUAACGUAUCUAAUUUAUUUAAAAUCGUUUUCCUCGCCGUUUUAGUUUACGACUGGUGUACGAAAAUGUUUACAAUUUAUUUUUGUGCUAGACAUUAUUUAAACAUAUUAAAAAAUUAUUUAUAAAAAAAAUUAAUUUUUAAUACGGGCCGGCCCGUUAGCCUGCGGCCUGUGUAGGGCCGGGCUCGGGUAGUAUAUUUUNNNNNNNNNNNNNNNNNNNNNNNNNNNNNNNNNNNNNNNNNNNNNNNNNNNNNNNNNNNNNNNNNNNNNNNNNNNNNNNNNNNNNNNNNNNNNNNNNNNNUGCCGAUAUAGUCAAGAAAUACUUUGCCUAGAAAUAUGAAAAGAACAGCGUGGUAGGUCGAAAACCCGAAAGGGCGGCCUAGGCAAAAAUGCGCUUCCCGGUGGAUCGAAAACCCGAAAGGGCGGUCCAGGCAAAAAUAAGGGACAAAAAAAAACAAAUAUGAAAAGCUCGCUGAGAUUGUAAACAACUCAGGCAAGAAUGAGCGUCUCGAUGAGCCGAAAACCCGGAAGGGCGGUUCAUGCAAAAAUGAGAUUGAAACAAAAGGCAAGUAACUAUAUCUGGCCAACCACCGUCCCCUUGGGGCGUCUGCAGCUACUAAUGACCAUCUUCAUCAAAAGCUCCUAUGCUUGCGAAUUCAAAGUUUCUAGGAAAUGUAAUGAUUGUUGUGUUCAAUGUACCACCAACCAAUAAAAAUUACCAUUUUCCAAGCUUUGUAAAUCCGUGGAGUCACGCCUUCGGCUGACCACCACUCUUAUACAUCAAUUUGAGCAUGUGCUUUUGUUUGAAACUCCGCUUUCUUUUUACUUUCAAAGUUAUGUACAAAAACAUUUUCCUUCUAUUUUUAAUAAUGACAAAUGCUCGAAACAAACAUCUUGAAAAUUGAAAAAGUUUUUUGAAAAGCAAACCUGAGCAACAGGGUACAUUCAAACAAAACAUGCAUGAGCAAGUGUGUGUUGGUGUCUAUUUCAACAUAUGUUACAAGCAGGUUCUCCUCCAGGAUAGUCUGUGGUCAAUGGCAAGAAUGAAAAAACAGAAUGAAAAUGCAUGAAAACGAAUAGGCUCGCUAAGUUGAAAACCCGGAAGGGCGGCUUAGGCAAAAAUGAGCACCCCGCUGGAUUGACAACCCGAAAGGGCAGUUCAGGCAAAAAUGGGGCAUUGAAAAGAAUUUAUUUCCCCGGUGGAUCGAAAACCCGAAAGGGUGAUCCAGGAAAAAAUGGGAUGCAAAAAUGAAUGAAUGAAAAUUAGAAAAAAAAAUAAACAUGCAAAAAGCAUUGACCACAGAUGCGACAUCCACGAUACAUCCGGCAUUAUUCCCAGUAGAGUCUUCCGAGAUUCUAUCCCCAGCAAGUUGCAUAACUACCUGCCCUCAGCCAUGGUUCCGAUACGUCUCUCAACGACGUCAUCUCCAAAGAGGAUUUCCAGGAAUGUGUAAUAUAGCACGAGCCAUUACGUGCCCAAUACUCCAGUGUCUUGUCUGUCUCUGCGGAACUGUGUCUACAAAUCGCCAACAGUCGUGCAUUACAAGCAUUCAUACAUGCAUAAUCAUGCAUAUUACGUGCCCAUGCAUUUAAUGAAACUGUUAUAUCAUUCAUGCAUAUUGCAUUUCCAAUGUCAAUACAAGUCUCAAUUCAAUACUCAUGUCGGGUUCUCUGUCAAAACCUUGUGUGCCAAUAAUAUAGGUCAAUUUCUACCUUUCAAAUCAAAUCGACGUCAAGUCAAUCUCAAUCUAUACUUUUUCAAAAAAAACAAUCCCCAGUGAAUCUGUUUCUGUUUGGUCAAGUGGCUAGCUCAAUCCAAGAGCAGCUUGAACCUACCUAUUUGUCUAUGUUUCCGGUCGAGUUACCAGUUCGCCUCCAAGAACGACUUGUACCCGUUUACUUUUCAAUGCUAUCGGUCGAGUUACCAGUUCAAAUCCAAGAACAGCUCGGGCCUGUCUAUGUGUCUAUGAUUUUGGUCAAGUGGCUAGUUCAAGUCCAAGAACAGCUUGUACCCGUCUAUCUGUUUCUGUUCGGUCAAGUGGCUAGCUCAAUCCAAGAGCAGCUUGCACCUGUCUAUUGGUCUUUAUCUCCGGUGGAGUAACCAGUUCGCAUCCAAGAACAAGCUCGCACCUGUCUAUUUGCCUUGCUUUCAGUCGAGUGACUAGUUCGAAUCAAGAAUAACUCGUACCUGUCCAUCUUUUCCAUGUCCCCGGUCGAGUGACCAGUUCGAAUCCAAGAACAACUCGUACCUGUUUGUCUGCUUUUAUUCCCGGUCAAGUGCCCAGCUCAAUCCAAGAGCAGCUUGUACCCGUCAAUUUGUUAUCUGUUAUCUUGUCAAUGUCUACCAAUCCCGCAAUGGAUACGGCAUCUUUUGUUAAUUCCAGCUUUCGUUUGUCUCGCACUCAUAAUCCCAAUGUUGCAUGGCAUUCAUGAUAUUUGAAAAUGUACAAACGUAUUUUUACGUCCAAACACAGUGCAAAUGUUAAUAUUUAAGUAUCUUCGUCCCGUCAAGCAAAAGACUCCGUCUCUUGACCCUCCGGACAAAGAAACUUAAAUAGGGGCAGCUGUUAUACCCUGAUUUUGGACCUAAAAAUACUCAUUCAAAUUUCCUUUUUAACACUGAUAUUUGUCAAUUCUCUGUUAUUUUACUCUGAAUCUUUACUCUCUUUUUAAACGUAUUUGACUGCCUCUGUCUUUUCUGACAUUACAAGUCUUUUAAGAACUCUCUGAAACGUCGCAUUACCUUUCUUGCAUUUUAUUUCAAAAAUCAUACAAAAGGGUAUUUUGGUCAUUUCCUGCAGUGGAACCCAUUUUAGUCCCUGUGUUUGCCUCUGAGUCUUUUCAACCUGUCUGUACGAAUCAUUGUUGAGUCUUUGUUUAAAAAUUAUUUCAAAAAUUGCAUCUGAGUCAGCUUGGGUCAGUUUAGUCCCCAGGGGCAUUUUGGUCUUUUCCUGUCAAAAUUUCGGCAGAGAGGUAUUUUAAAAUACCUCAUUUUUGUAGCUGGUUCAUUUUAGUUCCUUUUGUUGAUUUUAUUUUUGGUUUCACUUUACGUUUUGUCCAAUUUACCAAUUUUAGUCCAAUUUUAUUUUUAUUGCAUUUUUAGUCCCUGAAACAGUUUCUAAAAUUGCAUUUUAGUCCAAUACUUUUUAAAAUUGCAUUUUUAAGUCCUUUUUCAUAAUUGCAGAUUAGUCCUUUUAUUUUUUUUUCCUUUUUUGCAGCAAGGUCCUUAAGUCCAAGUCCAGGUGUCAUCACCCCAUUGGGUCUCAAGUACACAUGUCAGCUAUAAAUACAACACAGUGUCAGAAUUUCCAAAAAAACCCACACAAUACACGCCACAUCACAAACAGAGGUCACAAUCUCUCUCCUUUCAGUUACAGAUCAAAAACAGAAAUCAUCAAGAACACAGAAAAAAAAUCCCAAACCCUAACUCACAGAUUCAUCACAAAUUUACCAGAAUUCGACAAAAAUCUCUCGGAUUUCUCUACGGUUCUCAGCGAUUCGUCCUUGAAUCGUCAUCAUCGAACCGUUCCUUUCGCAAUUCCAGUGCGAAUCCAUCGCUGUUAGCAACAGACUCAAGCACGAUCACGAAAGGCUCGCACCACAGAAGAAGAGGGAAAGCGCGAAAGGCUCGAACCAGAGAAGAAGAAGAAAUCAAAAAAGAAAGAGUUCGAACGCGACGAAGCACAAGGCCGAACCAGAAUCGCGAAAGUCGCGAGUCUAGAUCGUGAAACAAGAGCCUCAGCGACAAAGAGGUAAUCCUCUUCGCUUUCCUCUUCCUUUUCCUUCCGUUUUUUCAACAAAUUUUGUCAAGAUUCAAACUCAGAUCUACUCCGAUUCGAACCUUUUCUGAAAAAUCUAAGCUCGGAUUCGAGAAGUAGACAAAAAAGGAUGUUUAAAAGUGCAAAAAAAAUUUGAAUCGGAGAAGUUUUGAGCUCCGGCGCGGUGGCGCCACCGCCGUCCGCCGCGCCGGAAAGGGGAGCCACGCCGGAGAAGACAACCGGAAUUCUAGAGAGAAGUGAGAGUUCUCUCACUAGAUGAGAGAAGAGAGAGAAGGGGGGAUCCUCUAGAUCGACUGCAGCAUGCAGCUGGGNNNNNNNNNNNNNNNNNNNNNNNNNNNNNNNNNNNNNNNNNNNNNNNNNNNNNNNNNNNNNNNNNNNNNNNNNNNNNNNNNNNNNNNNNNNNNNNNNNNNAUAGUACUCUAUAGGAACCGUUUUCCUAGUUUUAUGUCUACGCUUUAUUUUUAAUGCUAUUUAUUGAAAAAAGAAGUUGUUUAUUUAGGUUAAGAAUGGAGGGAGAAAAUGUUUGAGAUUUUAUUUUAUUGGACUUGGAGAGGUUUUGACCUCUUGCCUACAUACCCUUUUAAGGGAUCAAAAUUCCAUGUAGUUCUCUUUCAAAAAAAUGUUUUUUGGUGUGUUUGAUUGAUUUUAAGUUUUGGAAAAUGGUUUUGAAGAAGAGAAAGAGGCCGUAAAGGCAUGAGAGGAGAAAAUGGUGAAUGAUUGGUUCAAUUAUUAUUAAAAAAGGUCUAAGUUGGAAUUAGAGUUCAUUUGAGUUUGAUUAAGAAAAUAAAGGGAAAUUUCAAUGGAGUUUUGACUCCAAGGUCUAUUUGGAAAAAAAUUUCAAGUGAUGGAAUUUACCUAUUUUUUUGGAAAAUUGAUAUUUUUCUAAGUAUCGCGUUUCCUAAGCAUACAUCUAAAGCGGUAAACAUACAACGUGUGUGCGUGUCGGUGCUUGUGUCGGUGUACAUCAUUAGAGUCCAUUGUCCGUUACAUUGGCCCUAGUUUACAUUCUAUGGUCUUGCAAGAAAUUGAAAAGAGAAAUUGAAACUACCUAAAAUAUUACAUGCCAUUUUAACAUAGAAAUUAAAAGGUAAAAAUGCCUAAACUAUGAGAAAUUGAGAUAAAAAGGUAAGAUGCUCAUGAGAUGGAUGAAACAUGAAAUGAAAUGGUUAGUAAUAUAAGGCAUAAAAUGGUAAGAAAAAGUAAACAAAGAAUUACGAGGCGAAACGGUAAAAAUGACAACAAGAACCAAAACAUGAAAAGAAAUACAAUACUUGCGACACAAGAAACUAACAAAUCACAUCAAAAACAGUAAAGUAAUUACACAAACAGUAGCAUAUUCAACACAAAAUUGCAUAUCAAUCGUCCAUGUCAUAUAUCAAAAUAUUAUGAACAAAAAUGUGGUAAAAAUAACACAAAAUUCCACUAAAAAGGAAAAAAAAAACUAUCAAAAAAAUACACAUAUAUUUAUAUCAAUUUUUGACAUGUAAAAACAUCACAAAAGCAUUAAAAAUACAUCAAGAAACAUAUAGGAAUUUUUUGGAAUUUUUUGCAAGAAAAUUGGACAAGCAGGGGGUUCAGAUAGCAAGACAGCAAGGUGCAAAUAGCAAGAAAUUGACAAGAAACAAAGGAUCUGCGCAGAAGGAGGCCCAAGCCCAAAACCUAAAAGAUCCGGAUGCACAGGAACCACAGGAUUGAUCCAAGAGAUCAAACCCUAGAUCCAACGGCCAGGAAUGAAGGUAAUUGGACCGGUCCGGUUCACUGGCCUAUAAAAGGAGGCGCGCCGGUUUUAUUUCAUUCUUCUAUGUUCUUUCUCUCUCUUCUCCUCCCUCGCCGGUUUCUGGAAAAUAGAAGAUGAACUUCAUCUUCUCCGGUGAACCUUGCUUCUCCGGCGUGGUGGCCGGCCGCCCCAGGGUGGCGGCGCCGCCGCCGGAGUUGAGCAAGUUUGCUCCGAUUUCAAAUUUUUUUACAUAUUUGGAUAUCCUUUUUUGUUUUAAACACGAAUCUGAACUUAUUUUUUGCAUGCAAGGCUUGAAUCAACGUAGAUCUAAAAAACUCCUUUACAGUUUUGAAAGUAUUUUUUAGGUUUUCAAUUUUUCGAAUGAAACUCUUUGAAACUUUAAAGAUCUACAUUGAUUCGUUCUUGUUAUGGUUCUUAAGCGAGAAAGAGGAAGUUUGCGUGUUUACCUGUGGUUUCAAUCGGAUAUUUUGAGCGAAGAUCUUCGGAAACACUUGAACUUGAUUCUGUUUGUUGAUUUUUGGAUUUGAAUCCGAAAAUAAAUCGGUUCUUCUUCUUUGCUGGUUCAAUCUUCUUCGUCUUCUUUCUCUUCUUCUUCUCACUGAUUCCUUCGUGAUCGGUGCUUGAGUUUGCCAAUGGCGAAUUCACACCUUGAAUUGCGAAGGAAACCGAUUCGAUGAUGAAGAUUCAGUGAUGAAUCUCUGAGAAUUUCGAAAGAUUCACUGAAUUUGGUAUUGAAUUGUGGUUCUGGAAAUUUAGGGUUUGAGUUUUGUUCUUCACGUUCUUGGUGAUUUUCUGAGUUUUUGAUCUAACUGAAUGGAGAGAGAGAAUGGUGAUUCUGUUUGUUGAGGUGGCGUGUGAUGUGUGGAUCUGUGUGGCACUGUGCACGUUUUAUAGGCUGCCAUGUGUGAUUCUGGAUCAAUGAGAUGAUGACACCUGUUUUGGAACUUAGGGACCUUUCUGCAAAAUAAGAAAAUUGAAGGAUUGGACUGCAAUUAAGAAAAAGGACCUAAAAGUGCAAUUUUAAAAAGUAUUGGACUAAAAUGCAAUUUUAGAAACUGUUUCAGGGACUAAAAUGCAAUAAAAAAUAAAAUUGGACUAAAAUUGGUAAAUUGGACAAAACGUAAAGUGAAACCACAAAUAAAAUCAACAAAAAGGACUAAAAUGAACCAAUUACAAAAAUGAGGUAUUUUAAAAUACCUCUCUGCCGAAAUUUUGACAGGAAAAGACCAAAAUGCCCCUAGGGACUAAAUUGACUCAGACUGACUCAGAUGCAAUUUUUUGAAAUGGUUUUAAACAGAGAUUCAACAGUGAUUUGUACAGACAAGUUAAAAAGACUCAGAGACAGACACAGGGACUAAAAUGGGCUCCAAUGCAGGAAAUGACCAAAAUACCCUUUUGUAUGAUUUUUUUGUCAAAUGCUUUGAAAUAAAAUGCAAGAAAAGUAAUGCAAUGAUUCAGAGAGUUUUCAAAUGACGUGUAAUGCAAGAAAGACACUUUGGAUAGUUUUAUGCAAGAAAAUCAUGAUUGAACAUACUUUGAAACAGAGACAGUAAAAUAGGCAGAUGAAAAGAGAGUAAAGAUUCAAAGUAAAACAACAGUAAAUUGACAAAUAUCAGUGUUAGAAAAGAAAUUUGAACGAGUAUUUUUAGGUCCAAAAUCAGGGUAUAACACAUAUUAAAUAAAUAUCAAAUUAAUUUAAUUUACACCAUAUCUUCACUCUCAACAAUUAUUAUGUGUAAUCUCUUCUUUUCACAUAUCACAACAACACAUCAUUUUCCCACUUAAAACCACCAGGCACAAACAUCAUCAUAUACAUGCAUAUGGACUCUCCUAACGACCUAUAUGAAUGUCAUACCACACCUACUCGUCAUUUUGCCAGAGUUAUGUUACUGGACUUUCACUCCAUAAUUUUCCAAUGGUAUAUUAUUGUACUUUCACCUACAUAAUUUGUCAGAGGUAUGUUAUUGGACGUUCACUACAUAAUUUUUCAGAGGUAUAUUGUUGGACUUUUUCUCCCAAUUUAAUUCAAGACUUCAUUCUCUAGACUUUAAAUGGCCACAAGGACAUAAAUUCAGCAAGUAUUGUACAUAUACACUUAACCACAUAGCACAUAUUAAUGCAAGACUCUCUCUAAAAUGCACGACUCUAUUGCAAGAACACAAAACAUUACCACUCCCUUCACCAUCAUCAUAUAUAAACAUCAUUUCUCUCUCCAUCAUAAUAGUAUAGUUAUUUUCAUUAUCAUUGUCUCUAUAAUAUAGACAUUAUCAUCCUCAUCAUCAUAUUAAUUUAACCAUCAUUACUCUCCUCAUCGUUAUAAUAUAAACAUUGUUUCAUAUCGUAUUUAUUUAUUCACAUAUAUACAAUAUCAAUCAUCAUCACUCGUUGUCAAAAUUAUAUGAUUCCUCAUCAUUACUCUCUAUCAACCAUUUAUAUCACCACUUUAUUUCUUCAUUAUUCUAACUCUUACGCGUGACUCAUUUCUACGUCAACAUCCCUCUAUUUUAUUUUAUUAAUCAUAUUAAGGACAUAUUUUAUUCUCUCAUCUAUUCUAGGCUCAUGUGUAUUAAUUUGAUCCUAACCCAAGUUCUAAAAAUCAUUUGAAUAUCAAACCAAAGCCAUUAGAAUAAUAACAUAUUUAUCUAAAACUUUCAUGUUUACACUAGAGUUCAAUUCAAAACAGAAAUAUGCAAGAAGGGAGCAAGAGUGCGAAACAGGGGAAGCUUACACUGGGCUACUCGCCUCGUGAGUAAGGGUUACUUGCCGUGGCGAGCAAUUCCAGUAGCUACUCGCCACCGGCUCGCCUCCCACUCGCCUCGCGAGUCAUGAUAGGUUUCAGAAAAUUCUGUUUUCGUGAAAAAUCCAUUUUCACCCCAAAAUCCCAAUUUUUGACUUCCCAAUACCCAAAUUGAUCCCAAAGGUUUACCCAAAUGUUUUUAGACAUGAAAAGAUACUCAAAUCCAUAUACAAACUUGAAUCGAACAUAAUUUUAAACAAAAUCACCAUUUGACCCAUUUUCUCAAAACAACAACAUUUCAUUUUUUCAUCAAUCCACAAUUAAGUAUACCCAAGUUAUAAUUCACUCACAACAACAUGUUUGUCAACAACAACAUCCAUUGAAACUUGUUUCUCACCUCAAUCCAACACAACUUAUCACAAAUCAUUAAUUAGGCAAAAUUUCACAACUUGACAUUUAUACAUACAUUGAACCAUGUAAUUUCAUCCACAAACAUACCAUAAUUAUCAAUUCAAGUAUAAGAAACAGCAACAUAACAAGAGCACGAAUUUGACAUGAAUUGUUCAUCAACCCAUUUUCAUACAACAUGAAAAGAUGUAAAAUUUGAAAUUGAUUAUGAUAAUAACUAACCCCCUUACCUUAGAAGAAGAUUAACCCAAACUCUUGCUUCAAUUUAGCUCCUAAGCUUACCCAAUUGGAUUCUUCAAGUUCUUCUCUCCAAAACCCUUUUGCUCUUCUCUUCACCUCUUUCUCUCUCUACCUCUCUCUAGAAAUGUUUGUGAAAAUGAAUGAAUUGGUUCUUCUAACACAACCCUAGUGUUAUCUCCACUAAUGGGNNNNNNNNNNNNNNNNNNNNNNNNNNNNNNNNNNNNNNNNNNNNNNNNNNNNNNNNNNNNNNNNNNNNNNNNNNNNNNNNNNNNNNNNNNNNNNNNNNNNUUUGAGUAUAAAUGAGCUCGGUCCUCCACUAAUGGGCUUACUUAGUUUCUAGUGAGCUUAACCCAUUUCUAUUCAAACUAAAAAUAUUACUACACUCCAAACGAUAUUUUAAUUAAUAACGGUAAAAUGUCACUAACGGUAAAAUCUAAUCACUACCCUAGUAACUUAGUAAAAUAAGGGUUCUCGCUAAUUAUUAAAAUAAUUCUCACCAAAAUUACCAUUUUACCCUUACCCGCCAAAUGACUAAAAUACCCUUCUAAUACGGUAAUCCACGUAAAUGCACCCGACGACAAUUAAAUACACACAAGUACAAUUAAUCACACACAAACACAAUUAAAAGUAAUUAAAAUAAAUCUAGCUAAAAAAUCGGGCUGUUACAUUCGCUAUUAGCGAAACUCCCUCUAACUAUUUCGCUAUUAGCUCAAUUUUUGCCAUUAGCGAAAUUGCCCAGUGACAGCAUUCCUUGUUUUAUGUUCUUGCGUCUUUUUCACAUGUUUCUGCUUUGAACUGGGUUUUGGUGUAAACAUGAAAGUUGUAGAUAAUUUUGUUAGCUUUCCAAUGGCUUUGGUUUGACGUGAAAAUGAUUUUUGGUUUUUGAGUUAUGAUGAAAAUACUCCAAGGAGGUCUUACUGAAAUCUUAUGAAAAUUCAGCCAUUUUCUGACUUUAGCUUCAUACACUAGGGGACCAAUCUGAACAUCCUAAAAUGUUUCUUUCAAUUUGUAUAACCUUAGAAAAGUAGUAAAUCUUACUGGAACUUCUUGGUGGCCAUGAUUGAUUGAAUUUGAUGAAUUUGGAUAUGAAUAUAUGUAUGAUACCAUGUGAAAUGCAUUGUCUAUUGGUGAUUGGUGGUCGUUGGAUUCGUUGAGUCAUAAUGGCUAGGUUGAGUGGUAUGUAGAUAUACCCAAGUUGAGUCCAUGGCAUAACAUAAAAGCGGGAGGACUUAUGUCCUGGAACGCCUCGUCGUUCAAAGCGGGAGAACUUAUGUUCUGGAACGUCUUAUCGUUCAAAUUGGUGAGGACUUCGGUCCUGUGAAUGCUUUAACCAUUCAAAAUUCGGUGAGGACUUAUGUCCUGUAAAAUGGUACCACAUGCAUGUGUCUAGUUGCAUUUGUCGAGGAGUCUUAGUGGUGUUGUCAUGUCUUUGCAUGAGUCAUUGUCGGUGAUUGAAUGAUACUUUCUACGUAAUUGGUUGAAGUUGAUUAUGAUGAAUUUGACGUGAACACGAAAUAUAUUUAAAUAUUGAAAUGUUGAUUAUAAUAGGGUGUUAGAUUCAAUUGAUGAAUUUUAUGUCUAUUAUUGUUGAUUGUGAAUCUCACCCAUUCUGUUUGAAUGUUGCCUCGACCGUGGGUAACGUGCAGGUGAUUCCAAGUAGUAGGUGUGGUGGCUCAACUGUCUAGGGCUCUGAUACGUACGGGAUGGGAAUUAGUUAUAUUUAUUUUCAUUCCUUAUGUAUCAAUUUUGGAAUUAUGUUGUGGAGCCUUUUUAUUGUUAUUUGAACAAUGUUGAGGCCUUUCGUGCCAUAAAUUGUUGUUGGAUGUUUACGAUGUUAAUGAUUUGAAAACUAUUCCGCUGCUAUGUUUUGAUAUUUUAUCAAGUUGUUUUAAUUAAAUAGUAUUUUAUUCUAUUUAAGAAACUUUGAAAAGUAGUGUGACAUGCCGUUCGUGUUUAACUCUGAUUAUUUAUUAUUAUUAUUAUUAAGUUUGGGAUAACGGGGUGUUACAAUUGGUAUCAGAGCAGGUCGGUCCGUCCGGCCAAGUAGUAGAGUCGUAUCGAGCCACGUAGUGUCGUGUGACAGUUAAUACUGUCUUGUUGUUGUCCUGAUUGUUGUUUUUUGUGUAGAGAACUGGUUGGAGUAUAACCAUGUUCAUGUUAAUUGUUUUAGUAAGUCGGUGUAUUUUUCUCUCUUGAAGAAGAGCAUGCAGAGCAUCUGAAAAUUGUGUUGCAAGUGUUGAAAGAAAAGAGGUUGUAUGCCAAGUUGUCCAAAUGCGAGUUCUGGUUAAGUGAAGUAAGUUUUCUGGGCCAUAUUAUUCCUGGUAGUGGUAUUGCAGUUGAUCCAUCGAAAGUUGAUGCAGUAUCACAAUGGGAGACUCCGAAGUCAGUAACUGAAAUCAGAAGCUUUUUGGGUUUGGCUGGUUAUUACCGCAGGUUUAUUGAAGGAUUUUCGAAGUUGGCACUUCCGUUGACUCAGUUGACCUGCAAGGGUAAAUCUUUUGUGUGGGAUGCUCAGUGUGAGAGUAGUUUCAAUGAACUGAAGCGAAGAUUGACGACUGCUCCUAUUUUGAUUUUACCGAAGCCGAAAGAACCUUUUGUUGUUUAUUGUGAUGCGUCCAAGUUGGGCUUAGGUGGUGUUCUGAUGCAAGAUGGCAAAGUGGUAGCUUAUGCUUCUAGGCAGUUGAGGAUUCAUGAAAAGAAUUAUCCUACACAUGAUUUGGAGUUGGCUGCGGUGGUGUUUGUUUUGAAAAUCUAGAGGCAUUAUUUGUACGGUUCCAGAUUUGAGGUGUUUAGUGAUCACAAAAGUCUAAAAUAUUUAUUUGAUCAGAAGGAAUUGAACAUGAGGCAGAGAAGAUGGUUAGAGCUGUUGAAGGAUUAUGAUUUUGACUUGAAUUACCAUCCGGGUAAAGCCAAUGUGGUUGCAGAUGCUUUGAGCAGGAAAACGUUACACAUGUCUGCUAUGAUGGUAAAGGAAUUCGAAUUACUGGAACAGUUUAGAGACUUGAGCCUUGGUUGUGAGUUGGCACCUCAGAGUGUUCAGUUGGGGAUGCUGAAGAUUAAUAGUGAUUUCUUGAAUAGUAUCCGAGAAGCUUAGCAAGUCGAUGUUAAGUUUGUUGAUUUGAUGGUUGCUGGUAAUGACACUGAGGAUAGCGAUUUCAAGGUUGAUGUUCAGGGUGUUCUGAGGUUCAGAGGAAGAAUUUGUAUUCCUGACAAUGAUGAGUUGAAAAAGUUGAUUUUAGAAGAAAGUCACAAGAGUAGCUUGAGUAUUCAUCCGGGAGCUACGAAAAUGUACCAUGAUUUGAAGAAACUAUUUUGGUGGUCCGGUUUGAAACGUGACGUUGCUCAGUUUGUGUAUGCAUGCUUGACUUGCCAGAAGUCUAAGGUUGAGCAUCAGAAGCCCGCAGGGUUGUUGACACCGUUGGAUGUACCGGAGUGGAAAUGGGACAUUAUUUCUAUGGAUUUCGUGACGAGUUUAGCAAACACUCCGAGAGGGCAUGAUGCCAUUUGGGUUGUUGUCGAUCGGUUGACGAAGUCGGCACAUUUCAUUCCAAUAAAUAUUAGUUAUCCGGUAGCAGAGUUGGCAGAGAUUUACAUUCAUAAUAUGGUGAAGCUUCAUGGUGUUCCGUCGAGUAUUGUGUCGGAUAGAGAUUCGAGGUUCACUUCAAGAUUCUGGAAGAGUUUGCAAGAUGCUUUGGGAUCGAAGUUGAGGUUGAGUUCGACUUAGCAUCCUCAGACAGAUGGUCAGUCGGAGAGGACGAUCCAAUCAUUAGAGGAUUUGUUGAGGGUGUGUGUGCUUGAGCAAGGUGGAGCUUGGGAUAGUCACCUACCGUUGAUAGNNNNNNNNNNNNNNNNNNNNNNNNNNNNNNNNNNNNNNNNNNNNNNNNNNNNNNNNNNNNNNNNNNNNNNNNNNNNNNNNNNNNNNNNNNNNNNNNNNNNUAUUUAACCCAAAAAUAAACAAAUAGAAGGUUUUAACAUACAAACAAAUAGGGUUUUUAAGGGGGUCUCUAAAGGGAACUCAAACUGAAAGGCAAUAACACUUUAGACCAUAGACUUCACCAUUCCAAAAAUCAAGAUAGAUUGGAUGCAAAUAGUUCUUGUGCUACUACGAACAAAUGAAAUUAAUCUUUGAAGACAAAGUCCAUUACCCACUCAAUUAUGUUGGAUGGAAAAAGAAACAUCUACGAUGCAUUUAACAAACCUCAUUGAGGGUUUCGAUCAUCUGCACUGGAGCACCAAAACAAGUUGCACUUGUUGCAUUCCCUCCUUGAAACAUAUCAGGGACAAGUACUCCAAAUACUCCACAACCUCAUAACCCAUGCUUGUUUAUCUCUCACGGUAUUCGGAAAAGUAAACCUUAGAAAUGGUCACAUGUCAUCAACUUCUGCUUAAUGAUACCCAAAUAUUUACCUUCAUCAGGGUGUGCUCUACGUACAUAAAAUUGUGAUAAUAUGAACUUGUUAUUUUUACUUUCUUUUUUUAUGGGAGCCCCUAAUAUGGACCCUUUAUUUUAAGGUCCAUCUAUGAACCUUGCAAAUUGAGUGGCAAUAGUGGGUAGACACACCCCUUCUAGUUUAUAUGGGAACAUCAAUUUUUUUUCCUUUUAUUUCUUCUUCAACUAGCAAUGUACAUUCUCCUUCCACGUGAAUCAUUCGCACAACAAAUCCCUUACUCACUUUUUCUUCCCAAAUUCAAUUCCAUCAUUCACGCAAUGAUUUAAUUAAAUUCGGUGUUAACAAACUUCAUCAUCCAAAAGUAAGCAACAUCUAAAGAAAGAAAUAGCACAUUCUGCAACAGAGCUUUCGUUGCAACAAUAGCAUAUGGAACUAAACAAGAAAAUGACAGGCUUCAAUUUUAUUUUCGACAAACAGAAUUGUAAAUGCCAACACUAUUAUUGCAACCAUUAACUCUUGCCAACAAAACAACCACCAUAAACAUCUUCACCAUAUAGACUUCAUCCAAACCUGGAAUCCAGUUUAAUUGGAAUAAAAUUUUAUAGUAGUGUUUUCUCAUAUUAAAGGACUCGACCUUGGAAGUUCUGCAAAGAGAACAUCAUGAAUGGUGGUUCUGAAAUCGGUGGGGGGAAAGGUGACCAGAUAUAAGGGCAGCAAAUAUAAGGAUUUUAGAAUUUUGGAGAUUGACGUUCAACAAAGAUUUAUGAAUUGCUGAAAUUCGGAUGACUAUUUUUCUUCUUUUAUGGAAACGACAUACCCAAGAAUCAAAAUUCACAUAUUUACAUGGAAUGAAGUUGUACGGUAAGAGUUGAAGAAGAAAUGGAUGACCAAAAUUAGGAAAGUAAUUUGUUCCGGUGUAAACUUGAAGUGUAUUACCCAUUGUUCAAAGGAGGGUGUACAGUGCAUUACCCAUUAUUGCCGGUCAAUUAACAAGGACCAUGAGUGGACCUUAAAAUAAAGGGUCCAUAUUAGGGGCUUCCUUUUUUUAUAAUGAAAAUUGUAAGUGUAAUAGAAUACAAUUUCUUCAUAAGUGACAACAGUCAUUUGCAAUUUAUAUGACUUUGAAGAGAUUUUUUUUUAAUGAAUCAAAAUUAUUUGUGCGCAAUCAGCAAAUCUAUAUAUAGACUUUGGUUUUUGAAUCAUAUGGGUCCAAUUCAAAUUUUAAGACUAACCUUUUUUUUUCUUAUUGCUUUUUUCACCCUAUACUACUCUCAUGUGCUCUAUUUAUUUCUUUAUUUUUUUAAAUUAUCCUCAAUUUGGAUUUUAGAAUCCAAACUAGUUUAGGAUUCUAAAAAUCCGAAACGAGUCCAAAACUUGAUGGCAACCAUCUUUGAUUUUCAUCAUUUAACAGGAGUAUGGUGAAACCAUGUCCGGGAUGUGUAAUCCGAAUUUUAUUUACGUGUUUCAGAUUGUAUAUUUCAAAAUAUCAACUUAAAAAAAAAAACGGACAAACUUAUAGAUUGUAUAAUCUAAAACGCUUAACUAUAUAAGGUUCAUCCAUAGUUCAUCACCUUUAUCACCUACCACUCCCUACACCUCUAAAAACAUACAAUUUUGAGCGAAAACAUGAGUUGGAGUAGUAAUCUGGUCACCAAGGGGCUUUUAAAACAUCAUUUUCGUAUGAAUGCACAUGUAAUGUUUAUAUAAAUUCACCCUCAUUCGAUUUCUAGGCGCUCUUAUUUUUCAAAUGAUAAGGAAAAAAAUUGGACAUAUACAACUUGUUAAAUUUUGUUUUAAUAUUUGAAUCUAUAUAAUAUAAAUUUAGGACCUAUUUCAUAGCUUUUUAUGGAAAUGUUUUUCUCAACCUAUUCAUAUGACAUGUGGCACUCUCAACCUAUUCAUUUUCAUGAGUUUUUACAAAUACUCUCACCACAUUCAUCCUCACAAAUACUCUCACCACAUUCAACCUCACAAAUCUGUAUUUAAUGCUUAUGAAUAAAAGGAAGUUUUUCAAAUUCAUAUUCAAUUCUAAUUCAAAUAUUUCAUAUCAAAUUAAAAAUCAAACAUUUUGAAUUCAAAUAAUACGGAUUUAAAUCAAAUAAUUUAAAUUUAAAUAUUUAAUUUCAGGUAUUAUAAUAAAACAAAUAAUAAAAUUUAAAUAUUUUAAUGUCAAAGAGAUCAAAUCAUUGAUAUAUGUCAAAUAAUAAAAAUACGAUUUGAUUAAAAGUAUUGAUAUUGAAAGAAUUUAAUGAAAUGUAAAAUUGUUUCAUUUUUAUAUUCACAAUAAUAAUGUGAGCUAUUAUAAUAUUUUAAUUUUAAUGAUUGCAAAACAAAUAUGGAAAAGUUAUAUUUUAAUAUAAAUUUAAUUAAAAAAAAUUAGUGCAUUUAAUCUUUUAAAAGUUGCAAAAGUUACACUUUUAAUAUAAAUUAAUAUUUGUUUUUAUUAAUAAUGUUAGAAAAAAAAACACUUAUUAUUCAAAAAUACCGUAUAAUAGUGUUUAUUCAAAACAAAACAAAAAUAAUGUUAUACGGGUUAUUUUUUCGGCCAAUCGAUGAUUUUUUUUGUGAACCUAUAAAUUUAAUAAUAAUUUUUCUAAAACAAAAUAUUAUUGCAACAUUGACCUAUUGAUACCCUACCAAAUUGUAUUUUUUUUUUGCCAAUCCGUGAAUUUUUUAUUUUAUUAUGUAGUAAAAUCUAUAUUUUAUAAAUUUAAUAAUAGUUUAUCUAAUACAAAAUUUUAUUGUAACAUUGACCUAUUGAUACCCUAUCAAAUUGUAUAUUUUUCUCAUAGAUGUGCUGCUUUUUUAUUUGACCCAAAUAAAUAGGUUGAUUUUUUAGUUUAUCAUAGAUGUGUUCCUCUUUUUGUUUGACCGAAAAUAAAUAGGUUUUGGAAUUUAUUGUUAGUUAUAAAUCAAAUUGAAACUUUCUCGAAUAAACAUUGCAAGAGAUAUUAUUUGCUCUUGAUUUGUAGUCUUUUUUAUUUGACCCAAAUAAAUACGGGUUAUUGGAAUUUAUUGGUAUUAAAAUCAUAUUAAAAUUUUCUAAACUAAACAACCUAUUGAGUAACUUUCUUUGCUCCGAAACAAAAAAAAAAAAAACCUUAUGAUCUAUUGAUUUUCUAUUUUCGGCUACAAACAGUAGUUAAUGAAAUCAAGCGAGUGAUUAUUGUUAUUACAUGAUGAUUUUUCCUAUAAAUAUUGUUUAUGAUACUCACAACUUUUACAUCACAUGGAAAAUGCAACACAAAUUUUCUGAAAGUCUCUAUAAACUCAAAUUUUUUGUUCAAUUGUUCUUUAUUUUCUUAUUUUCUUAUUUUCUUAUUAUUUUAUAUGACUCCUAUUUGAAUAAUAAUUUCAAUUUUCAUUGUUUUUGUUUUUAAACUUUGGUUUAUAUGUGAUUGAAAAAUGUUAAUCUCUUAUUCUCAUUAACAUAUAUUGCCGUUUUCAUUUUUAAUUUUGAUUACAUAAAGCUUUUAUUUUUAUAUCUUUUAUUGUUUUUUAGUUUAGACAGGGAGACAAAGUGAUUAGAAAUUGUGACGCACAAAAAGUCGUUUAUGAGGAAGAAGAGUCAUAUGAUGGAGCAUUGCAAAAGACAUUGAUAAUGAGGCAUUUGAAUUUAGUGUAUUAAGAAAUAGUGCACUAUUUCUUUUAAUUUUUUUUUCUAAAUACAAGAAUGACAAAGAAACUGAAGAUUGUAUAUAUUAUAUUGAAAAUUUUAGUGUUGCGUGUCGUGAAUGCCCCUUUUUCUUCAUGAUUUGUAAUUAUUAAUUUAUUGUAUAUCACAUGUACAUGAAUAAUACAAGAAUAUUAAUACAUGUGCAUGAAUUUAGAUUAUUUUUUCACGAGUUUUUAUCGACACCCUCGGUAACACUUUUCACAUAAGAAAUUCUAAGGUGAACUCUUACAUAAUAAUUAGAGUAAAUUACACUCCCUCCCCUCAAAGAUGCUUGAAUUACACUCCCCUCCCCUCUUAAGUUAAAAUAUACACUUUACUCCCUCAAUAUAUUUUUUAUGUUAAAAUUUAUACUCCCCUCUCUUAUAAGAUGCUUGAAUUACAACCCUCCUUAAUAAUUAAAUAUGCACUACACUUUAAUCUAUUUGAACAUAAAUAAAUAUUCUUAUAAUAUAUAUAUUAAUUUUGAAUCACCAUUUAAGAAAAAUUAAUUCAUUUCUUUAUAGUUUAAAUGUCAUGAUAAUUAAAUUUAAAUAUAUUGCUAUUGAUUUUAUAAAUUAUAGUAUAAAAUUAACUUUUAAAUAAUCAUUUUUUAAUGAUUUUAGUAAUUUUUCACAUAUUUUAAUUUUGUUUUGGGUUGUUUCAUGUUUUAUAAUAGAGUUUAAAACUACAUGUUAAUGAAAUUGUGAAUAAAAAAUAGCAAAAAAUAUGUAUUCAAUUUUUAUUAUAUUAAAAUAGACCCGCAAUAAUAUUUUUUUUAAGUGUGUUAAAUUAUUAUUUUUUGCUAGAUUAAUAGAAAUAAUAAAAAAGAAUAUUGAGGGAGUAAAGUGUAGAUUUUAACAUAAGAGGGGAGUGGGAUGUAAUUCAAGCUUCUCUUAGGGAAGGGGGAUGAAUUUUUUUCUAAUAUGUUUUGAAUAAGAGGGGGUGGGAGUGUAUAUUCUAACUUAAGAGGGGAGGGGGGUGUAAUUCAAGCAUCUUUGAGGGGAGGGGAGUGUAAUUUACUCUAAUAAUUAAUAGUUAUAUACAGCCAAUAUUUCUUUAAAAAAAUUUUAUAUACAACCAAUCAAAUAAAUACAAGUAACAAAGUAAUAAUAAAAAUAUAAUUAUUUAAUAAAAUAUAUUAAUGCGAUAUUUCCCUCUGUAACCAAAAAAAAUAUUAACGUGAUACAAACUUCCUAAACAAGUCAUCAAAUUGUAAUAUUUUGAAUAAACAUUAAUUUUUAUGAGAAUAUUAUCCUUAAUGAAUAAUGAUGUCCUCAAAUAAGUCAUUUUAUUAUAAGAUUUCAAAUAAUAAUUAGCUUUAAUGAGAAGAUUAUCCUUAAUGACAAAUUUUAAUAAUAAUUGUUAUGUAGAAUGUAUUUAAUUUUUUAUGAAUAAAUUGAUUAGUUUAUUUACUAACUUUUUUAUAAAAAAAAAUGAAAUAUUUAUGAAUAAAAAUACUUUGAUAUUUUUUAAAAAAUUUAAACCUAAAGACAUUUUUAAAAUAAUUAUAUUAAUCUUUUUUGGAAAAGCAGUUAAUUUCAUUUUAUCAAGAGUUGAUUUAAUUUGGUGAUAUGUCUUUAAUAUCUAAGAUAUGUCUUUUUACCACUAGACUAAACUUUUACAAAUUUAUUACAUUAAUCUAUUAUUUGCUAAUUUUAUUAUUAUUUUUUUGAUACUUCAACCUACUCUUAUGUGUGUGUGUCAAAUUUUAUCAACUUGUGAUAAAAUGAAAUGAAAAGGGUUUCCUAAUUUUUUUAAUAAUACUUAUUAGUUUAAUCUAUUUUUUUAUCAAACCUAUUAAUCUAUUGUUCCUUUAUAUUAUUAACAUUAAAAGUGUUUUCUUUUACUUUAUUUUGGAUAUGUAAAUAUUGAUCCAAAUUAUAGUGCAUUAUAUUUGAUUGGUAUUUUUUUUUCUUCAAAAGAUUCAUCCAAGUCAAAGUUAACCGUGUUUGAUUUUAUAUUUGGAUCAUAUGAUAUUUUGCCUCAAAAACAUUUCGAAUUAGACUUCAAACAAACCUAUAAAUGAUCAUUAUAGUUUUUUAUUUACAGUAAUUUCGAUUUUUAUUUGUUUUUUUGUUAGUUUUUUUUUAUUGAAAUCAUUAAAAAAGUAUUGAUUUCUAUAAUCCUAAUGUGCAUUAAUCAUAAUUAAAAAAGAUAUUUUAUCAAAAGAUAAAGAAUGAAAAUUGAAUAUUUAAAUGUUUGAGUUUUAAUUAGUUUAAAAAAAAAAGUUUAGAGUUUUAUUAAGGAAAUUAAUACAAAAUAAAAGAGAGUACAACGGGUAGUCUAACUCAUAUUAUACCAUGCAAACCAUCUCCUUCUCCUGAAAAAUAAAAUAAAAAUAUACCUGUUUUUGUCCUAAAAAUAACUUCUUUUUUUUUAAGUUAAAAGUGGGAUGAACACUUUCAAUAUGUCAUUGUUUUUUAAUGAACUGAAGAGAGUUUCAUUGAUGAGGAAAUUAAAAUCAAUCAAUAGUAAAUGACCACUAACAUAGGAAAUACAAUCAUUUAAUUCCUUCGUCGUUUGUAAGAAAAAUCAUUCAAUAAAAAAAAAAUUAAAAUUUAAGCAAACAUAAGUUUGUGAUCGUCAUGGGUAUAAAAAAAUUUAAUUAUGGAUGAUGAUAACUAUUUAAAAAGAAAUUAAGCAACAUGCUUCAGCAUCCACGCUUACCAGUGUUCACGGGAUGAGUCGGUUUUCAUUAUAAUCUAUUACCUGAUGCAAUCAAGUUUCAUUAGGUUUGAUCAAUAAAUAAUUACACGUAACUUUAUUUUAAACAAAUCUUAAAAAUAUAUAUAAUUAAAUUACAUUCUAUAUUAUAAAAAUUUCAAGACUUUGACUAGAUUCUACUAAUUAAAAUUUGAACACACUUGAAUUUAAUUGAAACACUUUAAAUCUCUAUGACAUGGACCAGGUAUAUAAUAGUGUGAAACUGGGUCAAUGCGUAGAAGAAACGCGUUGUAUAGCUCAAAUACAAUGUUAAAUGAGCAAGGAUGGAUACAUCGAUGCCUGAAUGCAGUAAAAAAUAAGCAAGGGUCUCCACAUCUUUGUAAACGAGUGUGGGUAAUCAAGUUAGUUAAUGAGAGAGUAUGAUCUGUUUUAGAACAUGGAAUAAAGGUACUCUUAUUUGAACAUAUAUGGAAAUUAGUUUUUUUUUUUUUUAGUUAUCACAUAUAUGGAAAUAGUUGAUGCUAUGACUAAAAUGAAGAUUAAUUUUAUGUGCCAGCAAAAAACUAUGUGGGUAGGUGAAAAGGCGAAAGAAUUAGAUAGUUCAAGAUAUAAGCAUUGAUAAACUGGAAAAGUUAGAUUGAGAAAUGAUGUAUGCAUUAUUGUGGAUAAGGAAUUGAAAAAGGAUAUUGUGGAUGUAAAGAGGAUGUGAGAUUUGAUUGUAUCCCACAAAUUUUUAGUUUAAUAAGACAUCUUUAUUUUUUAUUUUUUUUAAAGGAAAUAAGACAUCUUUAAUGUUAUGAGUGUUUACCCAUCUUAGGUAGGUUUGGAAGAAUAUUCUAAAGUUAAAAUUUGAAAGGUUAAAUUCAAGAUAUACCACAAGGAGAAAAUGUUUUUCUAGGAGGGGAUCUAAAUGGGCAUGUAAGGAGUGUUUGAUAAGUUUUAAAGGCUUGAAUGAGGGUAUAGCCUUGGGGAGAUAAAUGCAAUGGGUAAAUUCAUCCUAGUAUUUUUUUUUUUGUUCUUUUAAUCUUACUUUAGUAAAAUAAAAAGGAAAUUUAUUACAUACAAGAGUGGGAUUUCAUGUUCUCAAAUAGAUUUAUUUCUUAUUAGGAAUUAUGACAGAAAUAUUUGUUUGAAUUUAAAGUUUUACAUGAAGAGAGUUUGACCAUCCAAUAUAUAGUAUUGGUUAUGGAUGUAAGGGUUAAGAUAAGAGCGAAGAUGAGAAGCCAUGAUUGGGAAACAAUGAUCAAGUGGUGACAUUUAAAGGAUCAAAACCAAAGUGUUUUUCUGCAAAAGAUUUUGAAGGAAGGUUGUGUGAAGCUACAUAGAAGUGAAAAUGAUACAUGGAAUAAGAUGACAUAUGAGAUUAGAAAAGUAGCAAAAGAGACACCGGAAGAAUUAAUAGGUUUUGGACCUAGCUAGGAGUAAAAAAUCUUGGUGGAACCAAAGAGUUCAAAUUAAAGUGAGAAUCAAAACAGUACUUCACUAAUAAAAAAUAGGGAUAAGGGUGAUACAUAUGAAGACUAUUACACAUUAAGAAAUUUAGCACAUUCCAACCUUGAUGACAGGGUUGUUUUCGAGGGGUGUGUUUUUUAGGAUAUAGUAAAGGCUGAUUAGAGUAGUUUAAGUAGUUAAAGGUACUUUUUUAAGAUAUAGUAAAAAAAAAACCAAGAGUUACUAACUCUACGAUACCAUUCAACAUUUUCUACAUUUUUUAGGAUGAUAAGUUUAAAUAUAAAGGAUUCUCAUAUAAAGCUAAUAUUUUUUCUUUCUCUUCAACGUGCACACAAAUGCAUGCAAAGGUGUUAAUUUUAAUUUCGUUACUUUACAUUUAAUAUACAGAUCUGCGUAUCGGUGACGAUGACUUUAAGAACCUUUGUUUGAUUGAAAUUGAAAUGCUGCUUCAGGAAAACGGAGAGUCGCUUACUGACUUCAAAUCUAUACCCAGGCCAAACGCAGCAGACAUGCCAACUUUCACAAACAAGCUUAUUGUUGAUGAGCUAAAUUACAACAAAGAUGAACUGUAAAAGACACAUGCUGAUACGUUACUGAUGCUGAUUGAUGAAUAAAGAUAUGUGCAUGAAAAAAUCAUGGAGUCCGUUGGUUCUGACGACGAUGGUUUCUUUUUCUUAUACGGUUACAGUGGUAUUGGAAAACCUUUAUAUGAAAACAUUGUCGGCUGCUGUUAGAUCUAAGGGGUUAUUGAAUGUUGCAUCUAGCGGUAUAAUGACUCUUCUAUUACCAGGAGGAAGAACCGCACACUCGACGCUGACAGUCCCUAUUAAGAUUAUGAGGCAUCAUCGCUUACGAUGGAAAAGGAUAGUCCUAGGGAAGACCUGAUGCGUGCUGCAAAGUUGAUAAUUUGGGAUGAGGCUCCAUUGAUGCACUGAUGGUGUUUUGAGGCAGUUGGCCGAUCAAUGCGUGAUAUCAUGUCCAAGAAUGAUCCCCUAAACGAGUUUAAACCAUUUGGUGGAAUGACAAUAGUUUUAGGUGGUGAUAUCAGGCAGAUAUUGCAUGUUGUCCGAAAAGGAACGAGGCAGGAUAUUGUUGAUGCAUCAAUCAAUUCAUCAAAGAUAUGUGCUUAUUUUAAUGUGUUGAGACUUACUGUUAAUAUGAGAUUGGGUGCAUCUUUGGUACCUGCAGAGCAGAAAGAAAUUUCGGCAAGUGGAUACUCUGAAUUGGAGACGACAACAACGCUUCGGAUGAGAAUGGUUAAAUGAAGGUAGAAAUUCCUGAAGAUUAUUUUUCCAAGAAAGGGGAAUACUCGCACCAACGCUUGAUUCAGUUGAACAUGUUAACGAAUAUAUGAUGUCACUGAUUCCAGGUGAAGAGAAAGAGUAUUUAAACUCUGAUUCUGUUUGUCGCUCGGGUGAAAAUUCUGAUGUCCAAAAUGAGCGGUUCACAACGGAAUUCCUUAAUGGUAUUAAGAGCUUUGGAAUUCCAAAUCACCGGUUGAAACUAAAGGUGGGAUGUCCAGUUGUGCUGAUGAGAAACAUCGAUCAGGCCAAUGGACUGUGUAAUGGUACAAGGCUGACAGUUACACAUCUAGGGAAGAGCACAAUAGAUGCUACCGUAAUUACAGGAAAAAGGGCAGAUACCAAGGUAUUCAUUCCCAGGAUGAAUCUUAUUCCGAGUGAUCCAGGACUACCCUUCAAAUUCAUGCGCAUAUAAUUUCCAUUGACGCUUUGUUUUGCAAUGACAAUAAAUAAAAGUCAGGGUCAAUCUUUAUCUCGAGUGGGAGUUUAUCUUCCUAAGCCCGUGUUCACGCAUGGGCAACUCUAUGUCGCUGUCUCUCGAGUUACUUCUAGUAAAAGUUUUUAUAAAGUAUGAUCAUUGGUUAUGUUUUAGAAUUGUUGUUGCUAUAAUUUAAGAAAACUAAAGUUGCACAUUGAUUGAAAGUUGUUUUGUUUUUUUUUUUUUUUUUAAUUUUCUUUGUAAGGCGUACUGGUCAUUAUAGACAUGCAAUUUCUAUAUAAGCAGAUCUUCCUGCCAUUGACUAUUAAUUCAUGCAUUUUUCAGGUUUAACAAUCCGCGGUAACCUUUUUUUUACAUCGUUGUUACCCCUAAAAUACAAUAUUUACAUUAGACCAUUUGUUUUGUAAAAAUUAAAAACAAAUAACAAUCGGUGUUUCUGUAGCCCAAACUACAUUUAUACACACUCGUAAAAAUUAAACGUUUGCAUUUACCGACUACGUGUAUGCAUGUGACGAUGACUAUUAUAUAAAAAAAAAUACAUAUUUUUUAGUUUUUAUGAUUAAUAAAAUACAUUUUGUCAACAAAUAUUAUUACACAGUACGUCGGCGUAUUUUUGCAAGAAAAUUACAUAUGCUAAGUUUAACAAUGAAUGCAUCUUAUACUAUAAAUAAUUAGUACAAGUAUAAUAAUCCAAAUAUUUUUAUCGUUAUAUGCAAUGUUUAGAUAUUUCAAAAUAUAUACAAAAUUAAGAUGAUAUUUUUUUCAUAUCGAAUUUAAAAUCUAUACAUUUAAUCAAAAAAGUUUUUUUAUUUCCCCGUGCUGGCACGGGUCACUAUACUAGUUUACUCUUAUUUAGUUGUUAUAUGUGAUAUUUGCAUUGAGAAUGAAGAGUAAUUUUGGUAGGAGAAAAAGUCGGUUCAAUGACACGUGGCAAACAAGAAUUAAACGGUUGACAUUGAAAAAUAACUCUUUACUACUGUUCCUCUUCUUCUCAACCAUACUAUCCACUCUUCUUCUCCUCUCACGUUUCCUUAACUCACCAUCUUGUUUCCAUCGAACUUCCUCACAGCCGCCGGAAAGGCCCAUCGCUCCGCCGCGGAUUGCUGCCGAUGUAACCUGUUCUUGAAUUGAUUGCAUGUAAAAAUUAAAAAUUCAAAAUGAUUCAUGCAUGCAUAGAAUCUGCAACGGUGAGCAACAACAUUGCAGAUAAAAUUCUGCACUAUUUCUUGAAUUGAUGUAUCACUAGCACUAGCAGAUCUUCAAUUGAUUACAACAACCGAAUAAUUUAGUUGAUUCGUAAUAUUUGCAGUGUCGGCGGUAACAUGCAACUGGAAUCUGUUUCUCAUGGCGGAGAUAACGCAGCGGAAUUAAAACAUUGUGGUGGCACAUUCCGGUGAAGGUAACAUGCAGUGGGACGGCGGCGAACUGCAUGUCCUUGGAAACGUGCGUGUCUAUAAUUUUAUUUUUGUUAAAAAAACUAAAUAGUGUUUAUUCAAUCUGAGCCAUUGAUUUAUGAUUUACCACAUGGCGUACAUCUAAGCAAAGAAUCGGGAAAGUGGAUGAAACAUUGACUGGAGCAGAUCCGAAUUCCAUCCAUCCAGAGACCCCCCGAAUUCAUCUUUGUUUACUCGACAGACAGAGAAUAAAAAGUUAAAAAGAUUGAACCAAUAAUGAAUGCUGAAAUGCUCCUCCAAUCAAAUCCACUGAACGUGUGGUCAAUUUACCAUUACACCCCUCCUCGUGUUGGACAUUCUUCGUCAAACACCCACAGUUUCGCUCAAUCACAAUCACAAUCACAAAUACAUAUCCACUCUUCAUUCUCAUCCUCAAAACUUUAUCCAAAAUCAAUGAUGACUUCUUCUUCUUCUUCUUCAGUGAUGAGAAAGCUAGAUGUUGUGUCUCCUGUUCCAUCAGACAUAGAUAUUGCUAACUCCGUUCAACCUAUUCACAUCUCUGAGAUUGCUAAUCAUUUAAAUCUUACUCCCAAUCAUUACGACCUUUAUGGCAAAUAUAAGGCCAAGGUAUCAUCAUCAUCAUCUUCUUAUGCUGAUUCAUAUAUCUGUUUUUUUAUUUUUAUUUUUUAUGUUGUGUAUAAUUAUUAUUAUGUGUAGGUUCUGUUAUCCGCUCUUGAUGAACUGCAAGAAUCAAAAGAUGGGUAUUAUGUUGUGGUUGGAGGCAUUACUCCAACUCCUCUUGGUGAAGGCAAAUCUACUACUACUGUUGGUCUCUGUCAAGCAUUAGGUGCUUUUCUUGAUAAAAAGGUUUCCCUCCUUCUUCUCAUUUUAUCACAUUUUCCCACCUUUUUAACUCAUACGGACCUCACUGCGCCUAUUUUCAAAUUUCUCAUCUCAAAUUUUAUGUAUAACAUAACAAUAGGGUCUAUAGUGCACGUGGUUGGUACACGGUGUGUGUGUGUGUGUGUGUUUUGAAAUAUGUAUGCCUGUAAAAUAUGAUAUUUGCCACAUCUACUCAAUGACAAUCUUAAUCGCAAUUAACUACGUAUCAUGUUUGGUACCCUGUACUUUAUCCAAAAGAAAACAAAUGUUUUCACUCUCUUAUGGAAGUAUUUUCCCAUGUUGUUUUUCCCUUACAUCAUCAGAUGAAAUGACUGGAUGUAGGAACUGUUCUUUCAUUACUUAUCUCUUCACUGAUUGUGCGGGUCCAAUGUAUUAAUGAAAAACUACCAUUUUAAUCAUGGUUAAAGUUAUGCUGUAUAUGUAAACUUUAUUGUAAAUCCUUGCCAAAGUUGGUGGUUUUCCGGCCUUACGUUGUGCAUGCCUCUUCUAAUCUAAAUACCAAUUGUUCAAAAAAAAAGUUGUGUUGGAUUAUGCAUAACCCCAUCUUAUCUCUUUUGUUAGGUGGUCACCUGCAUUCGUCAACCAUCACAAGGACCUACUUUUGGAAUCAAAGGAGGUGCAGCUGGUGGUGGUUAUAGCCAAGUGAUUCCCAUGGAUGAAUUCAAUCUUCACCUAACAGGAGAUAUACAUGCAAUAACUGCAGCAAACAAUCUUCUAGCCGCUGCAAUUGAUACCAGAAUUUUCCAUGAGUCAACACAAUCAGAUAAAGCUCUUUUCAACCGGUUAUGCCCUCCAAAUAAGGAAAGGAAAAAGGAGCUUUAGUGAUGUCAUGUUUAGGCGUCUCAAGAAGUUUGGCAUUUCAAAGACCAAUCCAGAUGAUCUUACACCAGAAGAAGUAAAUAAAUUUGCUAGGCUUGAUAUUGACCCUGAUUCUAUUACAUGGAGGAGAGUAAUGGACAUCAAUGACCGGUUCUUAAGGAAAAUUACUGUUGGCCAGGGACCUGAUGAGAAAGGAAUGGUACGAGAAACAGCAUUUGAUAUUUCAGUUGCUAGUGAGAUAAUGGCUGUUUUGGCAUUGACAACAUCCUUAACUGAUAUGCGGGAGAGGCUAGGGAAAAUGGUAAUUGGAAACAGCAAGAGUGGUGACCCUGUAACUGCUGAUGAUCUAGGUAUUGGAGGUGCUUUGACGGUUUUAAUGAAGGAUGCCAUUCACCCUACUCUUAUGCAGACUUUGGAAGGAACUCCUGUUCUUGUCCAUGCAGGUCCAUUUGCAAACAUUGCUCAUGGGAAUUCUUCUAUUGUGGCUGAUAAGAUUGCACUCAAGUUGGUUGGACCGGGUGGAUUUGUAGUUACUGAAGCUGGUUUUGGUGCUGAUAUUGGAACUGAAAAGUUUAUGAACAUUAAGUGUCGGUAUAGUGGUUUGACACCUCAAUGUGCAAUUAUUGUUGCAACAAUAAGGGCACUGAAAAUGCAUGGUGGAGGGCCAGCAGUUGUUGCUGGAAAACCUCUUGAUCAUGCAUAUUUGACCGAAAAUGUUGCUUUGGUUGAAGCUGGUUGUGCGAAUUUGGCAAGACAUAUAUUAAAUUCCAAAGCUUAUGGUGCGAAUGUUAUAGUUGCUAUCAACAAGUUUUCAACUGACACUGAUGCCGAGCUAAAUGCGGUUAAAAAAGCUGCCUUAGAUGCUGGGGCUUAUGAUGCUGUUAUAUGUAGCCAUCAUGCCCAUGGUGGCAGAGGAGCAGUAAGUUCAUGCUUCACAAGUCUUCACAUUUUUGAGCUAAUAACUGAGAAGCCAUAGUUAUCUUUUACCCUGACACAAGUAUAGGAUAUUGAAUUUUGACAAUCAAUAAGGCCAAAGGAAUUAAAAAAAAGAAAAAAUUUAAAUAAUGAACAAAUCACUAUCAGUAUCAGUUAAGUUGUGAUCUAACAUAUUCGGAUAUAAAAUUUAGUUGAGCUUUUUUCUAUUUUUUUUUAUAGAAACUUUCUCCAAUUUUAAUCCUCGGUCAUUUGAAGUUAUUGAGAAGCCUGCAUCAUUACCCUUAGUUUUUAAUUUGUUUUGGAUCAUAGACCCUAAUAGUGCUGAUGGUAACACAAAUUUAUCCAUCCUGUGGUUUAAACGUUAGAUUUUAAGCAAAUGGAACCAUUUCAGGGUUACAACUAGUAGCAAAAUUAAUUUUAAAUACAUGCAUUGAUUAAUAGAAUAAAUGCAAGUAGUAGUAUCUUUCUGUGAGGAAUGGUAUUUAUCACUUGCUGAAGUAUGCCUUGUCUGCAGGUAGACCUAGGCAUUGCAGUUCAAAAAGCUUGUGAGAAUGCGACACAGCCAUUGAAGUUUCUAUAUCCUUUGGAUAUUGGUAUAAAGGAGAAAAUAGAGGCAAUAGCAAAGUCAUAUGGAGCCAGCGGUGUUGAGUACUCAGAGCAGGUAUCUUAGUUAAUAUCAGUUUACUUUAACUCCUGCAAAAUAUUACCACCCUAUGUAUUUUAACAUAGAGGGGAUAUAAAAUUGUUUUAACAUAGAGGAAAGGGAGAAAGUAAAACCUGGUAAUGAUAUAAACAUAUUAUGAAAUUGUUGGUAUUUCAAAUCUUGACUUUGUUGACAAAGAUAUUUCGAUGUGAUGAAGCUACUGAAAUCCCCUGAAAUAAAAAAUGAUUGAUUAAGUUUUUCUUUAAUUUGUUUUUAUUCUUUUAACAGGAUAAUUUACAAACCAGGGGAAUGAUAUGAACGUAUUUUUCUCACCUAAAAUUAUGGUAAAGACAUUAAGUUUGGUUGACAGGUACAUCAAAAUUGGAUAGCUAACUAAUUAAUCACCCAUUGAGUUUCACUAACCAUUGUUAACCAACUUAAUAUGAACAUCAGAGAAUUCACUUGAAGUGGUCAUGAGCAAAACACUAAAGAUAAGCCAUGAACAUAAUUCUAUCCCAUAACUAGUUUAUUGGGGCAAAGAGACAUUCCUUAACAAACCACACAUCAAAAAGAAUAUGAGCAUCACAAAGUUUUAGUCUAUCUGUUUUUACUUUUUACCUGAUCUUUGAUCCUUUAUAAAUAGAUGCAUUUCUUACCACCAGGCUAUGAGGUGUCAACUUGGGUAAAAAUUUAAUCUUGUAACCUCGAUUGGCGGAGUACAAAUCCCCUCGAGGACAGGUGUAAAAUAAGCAUUGGUGCCACUUUAAUUAAUAACAAAUAUAUUUUUGAGCACCUGAUUUUCUGACCAGGCCGAGAAGAAGAUUGAGUUAUAUACCAAGCAAGGAUUUUCAGGACUUCCAAUCUGUAUGGCCAAGACUCAGUAUUCUUUCUCAGACAAUGCUGCAGCUAAGGGAGCUCCAACUGGGUUUAUCUUACCAAUAAGGGAUGUAAGAGCUAGUAUAGGAGCUGGAUUUAUUUAUCCUUUGGUUGGAACAAUGAGUACCAUGCCUGGGUUGCCAACAAGACCGUGCUUCUAUGACAUUGAUCUGGACACAACAACUGGACAAGUCAUUGGUCUCUCUUAAUUAAACCUCUAUCUAGUGGACCAUGCUCUAUCAAUUGCAAAACCUUCUCGAAUGCACGCCAAUACCAAAUUCACAAGUGCCACAGAUGAUUUCCGCAUUUUCCUUUGCUGCUGGUGAUCUGUAUGAAUGAAAUAAAUAUCUGAAGAGAUAUGUGUAAUUUUUGUUUAUGUUGUCAUUUCUUAUAUGAAUAAUUCAAUUGUUGUAAAACUCUUCGCAGCAAAUGCAUAACAGUCAGAGUUCCUGAAUAUAAAUGGAAGAAAUGCAGCAAAUGCAUAACAGUCAGAGUUCCUGAAUAUAAAUGAAAGAAAUGAAGUUUCAUCAUAAUUUCCUUAAGGAUCAGGGAUUUAUUAUUAUUACUAUUAUUUUUAUUAUUAAAUAGAAAUUUUUGCGGAAACACAAGAAAUUAUUUCUCUAAUUAUUAAGUUUUUUUUGUUUUUUUUUUGUUUUUGUGGUGGCUGGGGUUUGAACCUCGGACCUUGCAUAUUUUUAUGCAUUGUCCAUACUAACUGAGCUAAGUCCACGAGGACAAUUAUAAGGUUUGUUUAAUAAAAAUGAAAUAGUAAAUCAGAUGGAUAUGAAAAAAGAAGCAUGAUCUGGUCGAUGUCUUAAAUUAAUGGUUUUUUUUUGGGUUAAUUAUGUUUUGGUCCUUAUAAAAUUGGAAACUUCUAAGUUUGAUCCUUACUUAAUUUUAAUAGUUUUGCCGUCGUUACAAAAAUCAUUUACUUCUAAUAUUAGUCCCUCCUAAAACAAAGUUUGUUUAAUUAUCCUUAAACUCUUAAAUUUUUGAACGAUUUUUUUUUAGACAAGGUUAGAACACUAUGAAAGGUUCAUUUACUAAAAUUUAGAAUUUUUUAACAUGAAACGAAUUAAAUAUGAAUUUUUUAAAAUGGCAAAACUUAAAGAUAAAAGUAAUAAAAUCUGGAAGUAGAAAUCAAAUUUUGCGAUAAUUUUUUGCGGAGGAACUUUUAGUAAUGUUCUUAACACGUCUACAAAAAAUUGUUAAAAAACUUAAGAGUUUAAGCAUAAAUUAAUCAAAUUUGAAUUGAGUAGGGAUUAAUACUAGGUGCAUAAAUUUUUUGUAGGGACUAAAAGAACCAUUAAAAUUAAGUAAGGAUUAAAAUUAAAAGGUCUCCAUUUUAUAAGGACUAAAAUCAUAUUUAACUUUUUUUUUUGUGAACAACAUUUCUUUAGGUUGGAGUUUAGUGAAAUAGAUUUGAUUUGAUGUUAUGAAGUAGUGGUUGUGAGCAAUAAUCCUUGCCAUUGUUGACGAUGAUUUUGAGUUUUUGAUUUGUUGAAUUCAUAUUAUAAAGUAUUUGAUCUCUUAUCCAAAGGCUUAGAUCCAAUAAAUCAGGUAUAAGUGAAAUUGGAUCCCCUACAGCUUUUGACCAAAUAGAAGCAGUUGGCGAUGUUUUUGGUAAGAAUAUAGAAGGUGGUGUUUUGUUUGAUAUUUCUUAAACUCGUGAAUUGGCUGAUAAAGGUUGAUUCGGUUGGUAAAAUGUUUACUUAUUUGCAAACAUUCAAUUUCUGUUAUUAGUGCAAGGAUUUUUUUAGUAGACAAUAAGUAAUACCUUUGUUAGCGUUGUCUUGAGACAUACUCUGAUUUUCGUAAGUCCCUAGAGCCCAACUAACCUAAAUUUUAUUUAUAAAAAAUAAAAAAAUUAACAUGAAUUGUCGCAGGCAUGUAAGAGAUUUUAUUAAACUAAAGAAAAUAAAUCAUGGUAUGACCUUCUUAUCAUUUUCUUGUUAUAAUAACUUGUAAAUGAUAUCCUGAAGUUCUAGCUCAAUUGAUAAAAUGUUGAAAUUGUUAGGCCGGAUGUCAUGAUUGGGGUUCGAACCCCGGUUUCUUCACUUGUGUGUGUGAGUUUAUAAUGACUUUAUCAUUUCGUCUAUCUACAAGAAAAAAAAAAAAAACUUAGUAAAUGAUGAAAGGAGGGAAAAUAAAAGGUUUGGGAUUUGUGGAGAAUGCUUACAUGCGAGGAAAACGGCUUGUACAUGAAAAUCUUCCGUUCCUUCCUAUCUUCUCUCAUUAAUCUCUUUCUACUCUCUCCAAAAAUAGCACUUCAACUUCAGCCAUCAUCUCCCCCAUUUUCUUCUUCUUUGAACAUUGCAUACAGAACAAGAAACAUAGCUUUGUAAAUAAAUAAAAGUAGCAUAUAUUAAUUCUUUGUUAGAAUUAGAACAACAAUAUAAUAAUUAAUAAUGGUAGAUUCUCCUGCAUGUUCGAGGAAGCGAUUAUUGACAAGAACAGAUUCCAUACGCUUCGUUCCUUCAAGAGGAGGAGCUAUGAUUUUUACUUACAGUUUCACCUUUGCUUCUAUUUUGUUUAUGCUCUUCCUUGUCAAUGCUUUUCACCCUUCUAAUAGACAUCAUUUUUCUAAAGUUUUUUCUCACAUUUUCAACAACAGCUCUUCAUUCUCCCCACCCCCUUCUUACACCCCUCAAUAUAGCACCAAUGAAACCACUACUCAUGAUAAAACUUCACAUAGUUCUAAUAAGGAUACUGAAUUAGUGGUGAGUUCUCGUUCCUCUUCUCAAAUUUCAAGGAAGGAAGGUUCUGGUCUUGCACCGAAGCAAAGUAACCAAAAUGAUGGCCAAUUGUUUCCACAAAUUGCUUCUACAAUCAAACCGCAACAAGACAAGUCUUUUGCACCUAUGCCUUCACCAAAUGCCAGAGUGGAUUCUAAAAAUGUAAUACAAAGUGAUGAACAUUUGAGGAACAACUGUGAUAUUUAUGAAGGGUCAUGGGUUUUAGAUGAUUCAUUCCCACUUUACAAAUCUGGGUCUUGUCCUCAUAUUGAUGAGCCUUUUAACUGUUUCCUCAAUGGUAGGAGAGAUAAUAAGUAUGAGAAGUUCCGGUGGCAACCCAAGAAUUGCAACAUGCCAAGGUAUAUAUGAUGAUAUCCCGACAGGAACGUCUUUUCCCAGCCCCAAAGUCACUUCGGAAAUAUCUUCUAGAAAAACACAGUUUUAUGCCGUCCAGAAGCAUAGUUUCAUACAAAAACAGUUUUUUUUUUUUUUUUUUCGUUUGAAAGUAUACUUCUGGACACAUGCGGUUUUUUAGAAACACGGGGAAAUAACUCCAUUUCAUAAUGAGCAAUAUAUGUAGGAAACAAUGUAGAAUUGAUAUGGGGCUAAAACAAAGCAUGAAAAUAUGGCUAGCAUAGCUGAUUCUAGGAUGAGACGACUAAGCCGUAAAUUUUGUUUGUGUUGCUGUAUCUUUUAGGUGAUGUUUUAGUGACAUGAGCAUGUAAUGCAGGUUAAAUGGUAAAUACAUGUUGAAGAUGCUGAGGGGAAAACGUUUAGUCUUUGUUGGUGAUUCACUCAAUAGGAAUAUGUGGGAUUCUUUGGUUUGUAUUCUUAGUAAUUCAGUAAAAAAUAAGAGCAGGAUUUUUGAAGCCUCUGGUAGACAAGAAUUUCAGACAGAGGAUUCUUACUCAUUUAUCUUUACAGUAAGUCAUAUGUUAUUCCUUCACUAAACUUAAGAGUUUUAUUAUUUUGACAUGCAAAUUUGACAACGAUUUAGAUGGUUAAUGAAGUUUAAACUGAUGUCAAUGUGUUGUAAAUAAUUAACUAUCACUGAACUUAAUAACUUCUAAAAGCCACAAAUUGUGCUCAUUGGUUUGGUUGAUUUGAGCUUUCAUUUCAUUGGACUAGAAAAAAAAAAAUGUAGUGAUCAAAUUUGAGAUGGUAGGUAUUCUGUGUUAUAAAAUUGAAAUUAUGUGAUUUUUUGUUAAUAAUUGAACAGGAUUACAAUUGUUCCAUUGAGUUCUUCCGUUCGCCGUUUCUCGUUCAAGAGUGGGAGAUGCCAGGCAAGAAAGGAUCGAAAAAAGAAACACUUCGUCUUGAUUUGGUUGAGAGAUCUUGUGAUAAGUAUAAAAAUGCUGAUGUUUUGAUCUUCAACACAGGUCAUUGGUGGACUCAUGAGAAAACAAUGGAAGGGUAAUGCAGCUUUUUAUUUUAUAUUCUGUCCUUGCUAUAAGUGAUGAUGCUUUCUGUUUACUUGUAAAUGCAAAUUACUUUAGAUUUAGAGGCUGGAAUUAGGAAAAUUAAGAUGGCAACUUUUUGAGAAAAUUGCAGGAAGGAAUACUAUCAAGAAGGAAAUCAUAUCCAUGGACAACUAAAUGUUGAGGAGGCAAUUAGUAAAGCUUUUUUGACAUGGUCACGUUGGGUGGAUACUAAUAUUGAUCCUAAGAAAACUAUAGUUUUCUUCAGGGGCUAUUCCCCUUCUCAUUUCAGGUAAAUAAACAUUUAGCUUGUUUAAACCUAGUGCCUAACUCCCAUACCCAACAGAUAUAUCAUGUUUUUCUUUUAACCGCUGUAUUUUUUUUCCUAGUCCUUAUAAAUAUAUCACUUUUUUGUUUAGUCAUUGUUUUAGUUUCUACAAAUUUGUUCAUAUUAGAAUUGAUAUAUGUAAUAAGUAGAAUAUUCAAUUUUAGUCCCUCCAAGUAUGCAUCACAUAAGGACUAAAAUAAAUAUUAUAGGGACCAAUUUCAAUAUGAACAAAUUUUGCAGAACUAAAACAAAACCACAACGACUAAAAACAAAAAAGUUUAUGAUUGUAAUGACUAAUAAUUACAAGGGCUAAAUACAAAAUACAGUACAUCUUUGGAGAAUAAAAAUAUAUUUGAACAUUUGCUGGCUUUAGGAUUUCGUAUAAUCCCUCCUUGUUUCUGCUACAGGGGUGGGGAGUGGGAUUCUGGUGGUCGUUGUGAGAGUGAGACAGAACCAAUGAAAACUGAGUCUACAGAUUUGUCAGAAAAUCCUCCAAUGAUGAGGACCAUUGAGUCAGUAAUUAAGGGAAUGAAGACUCCGGUGGUUUAUCUAAACAUAUCGAAAAUGACGGAUUUCAGGCAUGAUGCUCAUCCUUCCAUGUACAGAAACAUGAAUAUGUCCGAGGAGACGAAAAAAUAUAUGCUAAAACACCAGGAUUGUAGUCAUUGGUGUCUUCCUGGUGUUCCGGAUUUGUGGAAUGAAUUUGUGUAUGCUCAUCUUUUGUAUAUCAUGAAAAGAAAUAGGGGCAAUCCCAAAACUUAAAUUCUGAUACACUGUUAUAAAUCAGCAUAGGUUUCACAUUAUCUUUGUGGUUUAAUCAGUUCAUAAAUAGGUUGUGUUAUUAUUUGAAUCUAGGUUGCAAAAAUGCCAACACCUUGUCCUUCUUUUCAAUUCAUUCUCCCAAAAACUAGAGGGAGGAUCAAUGAAUUCACAGAAGUCACUAAGGAAGCCAAAAAAAAGACUUAUGUUUUAUAUAUUAAGGAAGUUGCUACCCUAGCUUUUAGGUGAAACAAUAUAGCAAUUAUUUUAUGCUAGAUCCUCUUGUGAAAAAAUUGAGAAAGAUAUAAUUCUUUAUAGAAGCCACAUCAGAACACAUUUAGAGAAGUGGUAGAGUGAGAAUCACUGAAUUCAACUACAUCACAAUAUGUAAUUCACAAGCCAAAAUAGUUGUUACAAUUCAUACAACUUCCUUAAUUGAUCUCAUCAUUUAAUCUAUGUUGCUCCUUUGAGAAUCAUAUGCUAGAGCAAUCUAUUCAUCCUUAUUGUGGCUAAAAUGAUAUCUCAAGAAACAACUCUCGUAAUAAUAGUAAUACAAAGCCACCAAUGAAACCCACAAGUUCUGGAUUAAAAAAGAAAAAACAAGAACCUCAACAGAUCUAUGAAACUUCUUUGGCAGCAGAAAUAACAGCUUCCUUGGUUAUGCCAUACUCCUUGUAUAUUUUCCCUGCUGGAGCACUAGCUCCAAAUCGAUCAAUGCCAAUGGUUUUUCCCUUGCUUCCAACAAUCUUAUGCCAACCAAAUGUUGAUCCCGCCUCAAUGCUGACUCUAGCUGUCACAGAAGCAGGGAGAACACUCUCCUUGUAUUCAUCUGACUGAUCAUCAAAAAGUUCCCAGCUAACAAAAGAAACAACUCUUACAGUUUUUCCUUCUUUCCUUAGAUCAUCAGCGGCGGCAGCGGCAAUUUCCAACUCAGAACCAGUUCCAAUCAAAAUAACAUCAGGCUUGUUACCUGAUGAGUUGUCUGAAAUGGUGUAGCCACCCUUUUCAACACCUUCAAUAGAAGUUCCCGGAAGGUUAGGCAACUUUUGCCGAGAAAGGGCCAGAAUUGAGGGUCUCUUCUGGUUAAGCACGGCAACUCUGUAUGAUCCAGCAGUUUCAUUACCAUCAGCUGGACGAAGCAUCAAAACAUUUGGCAUUGCUCGGAAGCUUGCCAGGUGCUCUAUUGGCUGAUGAGUUGGUCCAUCCUCUCCAAGUCCAAUUGAAUCAUGGGUCAUAACAUAAAUAACUCCGGCUUCACACAAAGCUGAAAUCCUUAUGGCAGCUCUCAUGUAGUCGGUGAAGACAAAGAAAGUUGCACAGUAUGGAAUGAAUCCCGGGCUAUGAAGAGCAAUACCAUUGCAGAUUGCUCCCAUUGCGUGUUCCCUAACACCAAAACGAACAUUGCGCUCUUCUGGAGUAGCCUUUUGGAAAUCUCCAAACGAUUUCAACAAAGUCAUGUUGGAAGAGGCAAGAUCUGCACUGCCACCAAUAAGACCAGGAAGAACCUUGGCCAGGGCAUUUAGAUUUUGCUGUGACAGAUUUCUUGUAGCAUCAGCAGGGGUUUCCGGAGUGUAAGUCUGAAAGUUGAAGUCAAAUUGGAAUUGUGAUCAAUAUUCCACAAAUGGUUGAUAGAACUCAAGUUUUGUUUAGUUUAAAACUUCGAAGGCAGUCAAAAUUCAAAAGUAGGAUUAUAAAGGUGAGGAACGUGCUAUUCAAUACAAUUUUUAACACUUGUUGACAUAUGAUUCACUAUAAACUUGAACUGAGCAUCAAGCAACUACAGAAGAGAUACCUGAAGACAAAAUCAAUAGAAACCAAGAAGUACGACACAUUACUCACCGGAAGUGCUUUCUCCCAAUCAGCAGGUAAUUCACGAUUAAUAAUAGCCUUUAGCUCUGCAGCCUCCUCUUUGUAUUUCUUCUCAUACUCGGCAAAUUUAGCAUUCCACUCAGCUUCGAGUGCAGCACCCUCAGGGGUAUGGCGACUCCAAUGCCUAAGGAAUGUUAAGCAGGUUAUAAUCAAGAUCAUGAAAAUAUCAGUGGAAAUAAACAUAUAACUAAUGCUCCCAAUGCGGCUCCGUACUUUUUAACAUCUUCUGGCACAUGGAAAGGCUCGUAUGGCCAUCCAAGAUUCUGCCUUGUAGCAUCUACUUCUUUAGCACCCAAUGCGGCUCCGUGAACACUGUAGGAAUUAGCUUUGUUUGGAGAACCAAAUCCAAUGGUAGUGGUUACCUGUAAAAUAGUAAUCAAAAUUAAAUCAAAUAACUACCAUAUGACCAGCAUCGAAACCAAAUAAAAAUGAUAUAACAACACCCAAGAAAGGAAAGGUUUACUUUCACCCUCAACAGUCACAUUAUGUUCACUUCAACCAGUAUAAUCAAUUUAUCUAUACCAUGGAUUGGGUAAAUCCACUUGCUUGAAUUUCCAUUUCAUGUCACUAACCUUAAUCAAAGUAGGUUUGUCUGUGACAGCCUUUGCUUCCUUAAUGGCUGCACGAAUUUCAUCAUACCCAGUAUUUCCGUUCUUUACCCAAAUCACAUGCCAUCCAAGUGCCUCAAAACGUUGAUCAACAUUCUCAGUGAAUGCAAUUUCAGUGUCACCAUCAAUAGAAAUGUGGUUAUCAUCAUAAAAUGCAAUUAGCUUUCCAAGACCCCAAUGUCCGGCAAGUGAACACGCUUCAUUUGAAAUUCCUUCCAUUUGACAACCAUCUCCCAAUAUAACAUACCUAGAGCAGACCAAAAACAAAAGCAAAAGACAAAUGUCACAUUACGAAUCAGGAAAACACUGCAAUUCACAAGUGCAAGCAUGUAUAGAUCAACAUGUAACAAGAUGUAAUUAAUUAUCUCACGUGUAAUGGUCAACAAUCUCACUGUCAGGCUUGUUAAACCGUGCAGCCAAGUGCUUCUCGGCAAGUGCCAAUCCAACACCAUUGGCAAUACCCUGACCCAGAGGACCUAAACAACAAAAAUACAAGGAUAGUUGAAAUUCAUUACAGAAGAAGCAAAAAAGGCUCACAGUAACAUCAAACUAAAGAGACAUAUUAUUAUCAAUAUUGUUAUUUUUAUAAGACCUGUGGUGACUUCAAUUCCAUAUGUCUCGAAGUUCUCGGGAUGUCCAGGAGUUUUGCUUCCCCAUUGUCGAAACUGCUUCAAGUCAUCUUCCUAUUAUUUUAUUCAAUCCAAAGACAAGAAAUUCAGCUCAGUCAAAAAAUGAAAGAUUCCACAGCUAUAUACCAAUACCACUCACUAUGCAUAUCAAUUCAUUAUAGUAAUGAAAUUGUUAGUCAGGAAAUUAUAUCUUUAAAGUAAACGAAAUUUUAAAAUGAUAUCUAAACUUGAAAAAUUCUCUGCCACAUAAGCAAUCAGGAACAAUUUCAUUUCAGCUACUAAAUUGACCAAGCCAAAAUAAUUAAAAGUAAUUUUCAUUUGUAAUUAGUUUUGUUAUGUAAGUAUUUAUCUCCUUUGUCGGGAUUUGAACUCUGUUACAGAUUUUCAAUUUUAAUAUACUAUUUUGAAAUUUGGUUAAUUUAAAGAUUAAAGUAAUAGAAAAAUUAAAUUUUAUUGGUUAAUCCUACGAGUUUAAUUAAAGAGUAAAAAAAAAUAAAAACAGUGAUUAAUGAAAUGAAAGAGAAAAAAGAGUAACCUGGACACUGUCAUAACCAGCAAGAUGAAGAAGAGCAUACUGAAGCAUACAACCAUGUCCAGCAGACAAAACAAAGCGAUCACGGUUAAACCAAGAAGGAUUCUUUGGGUUAUAUCUCAUAACUUCAUCGUAUAGAAUGUGACCCAUUGGAGCACAACCCAUGGGUAAACCCGGGUGACCCGAAUUAGCUUUCUCAACGGCAUCGAUAGCAAGGAAUCGAAUAGUGUUGACUGAUUUCUCAACGAGAGAAGCUUCGGUGGUUUUGUCGAGUGUUUCAACAGCGGUGGCGCGGAUGGCUGGUGUGGUUCUGCGACGGGAGGUAGGUGGUUUGGAUGAAGAGGAGGAUUUGAGAGCAGGGAAGGAGAGGGAAGAAGUGGAAGAGAGUGAAGCUGCACGAAUUUCAGGGUUGAGGUAAACGGCACGUGCGAGGAAUGCUUGAGAAAGAUGAAGAGAAGAAGAAGCCAUAGUGUGAUUGAUUAGAGAGAAUAAUCAAUCAAGAAGAAGAAGAAGAAGAAGAAGAAAGAGUGUAGUAAGUAAAGUAAUAGUAGUAAGAGUGUUGUUGGGAUUAGAUAGAAUAUGUAGGUGGUGGUAGUGUUUGUUUGGUGUGUAAGCUAUGGAAAAUCUCAGCCUAUGCUUUCUUGCUAUCUAUCUCCUCCCUCACUUAUCUACCUCUCAAUCCAUUUCAUCAUUUAUUCUUUUUUUUUCUUUCUAUUAUUUUAUUUAUUAUUAUUAGGAUAUUCGAAUCUUCUUCUUGCCUCCCUCCCACCCAGUAUUAAUAAUUUAAUUCAUUUACUAUGUCAGAUGUGUAUAAUUAUAUUAUGUACGUAUUCAAUAUGACAAAUUUAAGUUUUAAUUUUGAUCGGUUCAAUUCAAGUAUCAUUACUUUCUUUGGAAAAUAAUCAAUCUAUGAGAAUCGACAUCCUUGUAUUAAAUUUUAAUCAAUUAAUAGAUUAAUCAAAGUUUAUUCCAGCAGACGGAAUUAGACUAGCACAAUGUAAUAAAUUGAUGUUUGAAUUAUGUCUGAUUUAACAUACAUUUUUUUGAAAGAUAUAUAAUUUUGUCUCAUCUAUCAUAUAUUAUUUCAUAUAAUCAAAAGAGAAAAUUUUAUUAACUUAGGAGUAUAAAUGAUACACCGUCCUAAAGUAAAUCACACGAUCAUACAAUGCAUUAUUCUCAAAUUUAAACUAACAAUUAGUUAAGCAUCUCAAUAGACAAUUAAACCAAUCAAAAUACAUCGUUGAAGACUUCCUUGUCGACCCUAUCAAAAAACUAGCUCUAAGACACCAAUUCAAUUUGAGAUAUUAUCGAAUUAUGGUCUAUUAUGUCUUCUUGAAAAGAAAACAAAUAUUUGAGCCGACCAAAUACACACAAAAUAAUCACCUAAAUAAAAAAGUGAGUUACCUUCUUGAAUAUUUAUUACGGGUAUUUUUGACCUUGUGUUUUCUAGCUUUUAAUCCAUUUGAUGAAUAUGAAAACAACUAAAUCAACAUGCCACAUAGAUAAAUUCUGAUGACAUAUGUUAAAUGAAGUAUCAAAAGUAAAUAAUCUAACAUGUCAUGAAUUGGUUUUUUUUUUUUUUUUNNNNNNNNNNNNNNNNNNNNNNNNNNNNNNNNNNNNNNNNNNNNNNNNNNNNNNNNNNNNNNNNNNNNNNNNNNNNNNNNNNNNNNNNNNNNNNNNNNNNCUUUGUCUUUCUUUUCUCUGCUCUGUUCUUUUCCGCUGCAAUCUGACUCUGAUCAUUUCAUCAGAAGCAAUCAAACUGCUUCUGAAGUUUUAUCAGAAGAAGAAUCCUUUUUUAAGAGAAAAAGAAAACACAAUUCAACCCCCCCUUCUUGUGUUUUUCACCUUCAUAUUUCAAGCCCAUUUUUCCAACCGGGCUUUUUGGCCCGGCCCGAUAAAGCCCGAAGCCCGUUUAGGGCCAGGCCGCCCGUUUUGAUAGCUCUACAUUUAUGUACAAUUUCAUUAAAAAAAUACAAAAAUUUACUUUGAAAUAGGGACCAAAAGUAGUGUCUCAAAAUUUUAUAGGGACUAAAAGUUGAAGGAAAAUUUUAGAGGGACUAAAACGAAAAGUUGGUAUAUUUAUAGGGACCAAAAUAUAUUUAACCCCUAUAUUAUUUUACCAUCCCUUCCGUCGUCAUUUAAAUUGCUAUGUAGUCCCGGUAACUAUUAGAGCUCUAUUUCUCUCAACAAUACUAUAAAACAUCAAACAAAUUGCAUUAUCAUCGUAAUAAUAAUUAAUACUCUACUUAUUUUCUUUAUUAGAUUAAAUAAAUAAAAUUUGGGGUGUUACAAUCAUCACCAAUUAGAGGUGGGUUUCUGAUCUUUUCGGUGAGAACGGUUGAGUAGCAACAGUGACAGAGAAUGUUCUGAUGUGACGGUAACGACUUCCAGCACGAUGGUAAUGAAUCUUCACUUGGAACGAAGGGUGCAUACAUACACUUUAACACUCCAACGCUCAAUUCAGUAAUGGAACUGAAAAAGAGUGUGUAAGAAGUGUUGUGAAAAGUGAUGUAUACCUUAAGGGUGAAGCAAGUUCACCCUUAUAUAGGCGCGCUUGGAUCAUAAUUGUCUCCGUGAAGCAAGUUAUGGGACACAUACAUCAUGAUCUCUGAGUGGAGGCGCGGUCAUGUGUGGCACGGUGUACGCAAGCUGGUGUGCGCUCCUUCGAGGACGGAGCUUGAGGCGGUUUAUUUUAAGCCACGUGUAACUGCUUGAGUGGUCUUGUGACCGGUCCAGAAGAAUUUUCUUUUUUUCCCUCAUUCCACAUGCAUAAAAUUAUGAUAAUUGAUUUUGUGGAUUAUGAGGUGUUAAGAGUCCCACAUCGGAUAGGUGAUGGCCGGACAAUGUGUUUAUAACUGGUGGCAAUCCUCACCUCACAAGCCGGUUUUGUGGAGUUGUGUUAGGUCCAACCACGAUUUCUACGAUGGGGGCUUUAUUGGUAAAAUAAGGGUUCAUUAUGCAUGAACGUUAGAUCUAAGAGUUGAAGUUGAUGCAUUUACUAAAUGGUGUAUUUUCCUAUUAAUUGGAUUAUAGGUGAUUGAUGAUAGAGUUUUGAAAUUCCUGUAAAUAGUCUUUUUUAUCAUUGUUGUCAAAAUUCCGACUUAAAUCUUAAAAUUUAAGAUAUUGCGACUUUAUACUUUAUUCACCUUCAAACUCAUAUCCAUAGCAGAAUUCUAAAAUAGGCAAAAACGUAUUAAAAUCGCAUCUAAAUCGUGAAAUCCAUACAAAAUCGCAAGAUUUUGAAGGAUUUUGUCCAUUUAUUUUAGUCAUUUAUGUAUAAGUAUUUUGUGGACUUUAAAUUGAGUCAUUUAUGACUAUAUACAAUUUAUAAUAUAUAUUUAGCAUUAUUUAUGUUUUAGUAAAAUCCACCGAUUUUGAUUGCGAUUUUUUAUAUUGAUUCUACAAAAGUAGUUGAGUAAAAUCCUUUGAUUUUGAUUACGAUUUUACGAUUUUCGAUUUUACUCUUCCCUUUCGACCUAAAAAAAAAAAUCAUGAUUUUGACAACCUUGUUUUUUUACUACUAAUAUAGCUAUAAAAUAGCGCAUGAAAUUUACGGUUAUAGAAUAAGUUGUCUAAACAUGUAGCGAAACUCUUAAUAUUGUUGUGAGAUUAAUUCUGUAGACGAUGCAAACAAGAAGAUGAAUGAGAAAGGAUUGAGUAAUUUAUUCAUUUAUUUAAGUUUUUCUUGGUUUAAGAUUUUUCUGGGUAUUUUUUAUAAACAUUGAUGAAGAUUUGUUGAAGAUGAUGAAGGUGAGGAGAGGAGAAAGAAGACGAAGAGAUAGAAAAAAGAAUUAUUUGUAGAUAGUAUACUAUUAGAUGCAAUAGACCCACACAAUCUAAUGGUUUCCUUUUUGACAAAAAGAUCCAAGGGUUAAAAUUGAAAAUAUUAAUGAGAUUUUUCUUUGUCCAUCUAAGAUAGCCGGGGUUAACCCCUUGACAGAAGGGACAAAAUUGUGUAACGGAUGCAUAUUUAAAGGAUCUAAACAGACCAAAAAUUAAUUAUGGGAUCAAAAGAUAUAAAAAAAAUAGUUAUGGGACUAAAUUAGCAAUUAAAUCUUAAUUUUUGUACAUCUUAGAGUUAAAAAUCCAUAAUUUCGAGGUACAUUAAAUUACAAACUUAAAAAUAAAUAAAAGUUAUGAUUAUUGGGUGAUUGUACGAAAAUUAAAAGGCAACUCAAGAAACAUUCUAGCAUGAGAAUAAGGUAUAUUGUGUGGUUUUUUUCCAAGUGUAAGAACUCGUUACUCCCUGAAUCGGGUUUUUAAACACUCUAGAUUCUGAUUCUCAUACACUAAGUGGCUUCACUCAUUUACAAGUCUACAUAUGUUUUUAAUGCACAUAAACAUUAAAGGAUACAUGACGAAACGUUGUGGACAAUCAUCAUCAACUUUACAUAUAGAUUUUGCUAAAAUAAGAAAAUGAAAAAAAAUAUAUAUUACUAAAAUGAGAUUAGAUAUUAUGUAGGAACUACAAUGUUAAGAAGAAAAGUUGAAAAGGGUGAAAAAUUAGCUCACCAUAAACCUCCUUUGUAACCAUAAAUAAAUAAAGACAUGAAAACAUAGCAUAAAUAAACUUUAGUGUUUUAUCCAUACUAUUUUUUUUUUCUCUUUUCUUAAACAAAUAGAAUAUGAAUUUGAUCACUUUAUAAUGAAUGAAGCUCAUGUAAUUAUGAAAACAAUAUAAUAUUUUUGACACUUAAAAACAUGAAUGUGAUGUACUUGUAAUUUUACCACACUUUGUAAAGGUUUCUUAAAUUAAUUUUGGUUUUGUGUUUGUCCCUUUAGCUCACUUGGUAAAAGGGUAAAAUUAAUUCUUGUUAUUUUAUAAUUUACUUUUUAACCUUUUAUGAUAUGCUUAUCUCACGACGCCAGAUGUGCCUUCCGAACGUGGUUGGUUUGAUGAUGUGUGGGUGAAGGAAGCUCCGCUUAAGGUCUCUGUUGUUUGGCGUUUGCUCCGCAAUCGAAUCCCAACUAAAGAUAACCUUUUCCGUCGGCGCAUCAUUCCUUUUGACGACAUUUCUUGCAUUAUUGGUUGUGAUUCUCUCGAGACGGUGGAUCAUCUCCUGCUUCAUUGUCCUCAUCUUGAAGUGGUGUGGCAUCACAUCUUUCAGUGGCUAGGCAUUUAUUUUAUUGCUCCGGCGUCUAUCUCCGAUCAUCUUCAUCAAUUUUGUCAUUUGGUGGGGUUUCCGCGCACUAUUCACUCUUUUCUAAUGGUAAUCUGGAUGGCUACUGUCUGAGCUAUCUGGAAGGAAAGAAACAACAUGGUUUUUAACCAGAAGAUUGAUACUUUAGAUCAUUUAGUAUAUAAAAUUAAAUUGAUGUCUUUUUCUUGGCUAAAGGCAAACAAGCCUACUUAUGCUUUUAGUUACCACGACUGGUGGCGGCACCCUUUACCUUGUAUGGGUGUUUUAUUGUAGCCUUGUGUUGCUUUGUUGUUCUUCAGGAGUGUCCAUUUAUGGCACCAGACAUUUAGCUGUAUUCUUUUGGUGGGUGGUUCUCUUUUGCACACCUUAUACGAGAUGAAUCAUCUUUGAUGAUAUAAUAUAUUCUAUUUUGGCUUUGUAAAAAAAAACCUUUCAUGAUAGAAAUGGAAAAUGUCUUUUUAAUUUUGUCGACCGUUAAAACAUUCGGUUGUACGAAUACUACAUAAUGAACAUGACAAGUUGACAACAUAGUUAUGGGUUUAAGAAUUGCUCUUAUUCGCAAGUACUGUAAAUUGUACUGUUUCUGUGAAAUCUACGAGUUGUGUUUGUUAAUAGUACUGUUAAGAUUUGUGUGUUUUCGUGUUAAUAUUCAGUUUUGCUUUGACUUGUGAAUAAGGUGAUGAUACAGAAUAUUUUCUUGGGUACGUAAAUACCUCUUUUCGUCCCUGUAAUAUUAACGAAUUUCGGUUUUAAUCUAUGUAAAAAAAGAUUUAGAUUUUGUUCCUGUAAUUUCAUAUUCUUCCACUUUUGGUAGCUCAUUCCACCACGUCAGCAAAAUCUGCAUACAUGGCACGUAAAAUGAGGGACCAAAAAUGGAGGAAUCUGAAAUUACAGGGACCAAAGUGGGAGAAAUAUGAAAUUACAGGGAUGUAAUUUAUGCGGAUUCUGCUGACGUGAUGAAAGGAGGGAUCAAAAGUGGAAGAAUCUAAAAUUACAGGGAUAAAAUCUAGAUUUUCUUUUUUACAUGGACUAAAACCGGAAUUCGCUAAUAUUACAGAGACGAAAAGAGGUAUUUACCCUAUUUUCUUUUGUACUAACUAUUGAUAGUUUGGAGCCCAGCACAGCUUCACAAUUUCUUUUAUCCUAAAUCAAAAUGUGAUUCUUCUGAUUAUUAUAUGUAGGGGUUGGGGUUCGAACUUCAGACAUCCCACUUAUUCACAUUGAAAAAAAGAUGAAUUCUAAUUACUAGAUUAUUUGACCAAAAAAAAAAAUGUAUGUUUAUUUUAAAUAAAUACUUAAUAAAUUGGUAACUUUAUUUAACAAAAAAAAUUGAUAACUUUAUUAAAUGUUUUCCUUCAAAAAAGACUUUAUUAAAUGUUUGCAAAUUAAUUAUGUAUCAACUGGAAUUAGAUUUAGCCGAAGAAAUUAAACUCUCGGCAGAUAUUGUCUCUAAUAAGAUUAGCUCUCACUAAUAUUUAUUUUUGAAAUAAUUAGCUAUCACUAAAUGCAACUUAUAAAAAAAUUAAAAUUAAUUUGUGUGUAGGUAACUUAUAGGAAUAAACUUUUUAGAAUAAAUUACAACAUAUCAUAUUUGUUUGUAUAUUUAAACAAUUUAAUGUUAAUGGUCAUGAUAUAUGAUGAUGUCCAUGAGAAGAUGACAUGUACGAUACCAUAUUAUGGAAUAUAUAAUUUUUGCUUGUAUUAAAAAUUAGUCUCUAACAAUGGCAAAAAUGCCCUCUCAACCGAAAGCAUCAAACAUUUUCACCUUGGAACGGUGAUCCUGAUAAUGAUAUAUUUGAGUUUAUGAGGGAAUACAUUUGAGUGAUAAUUAUAUAAAAAAUAAUUAAAUUUUUUAUUGUCGAAUGAUUAAAUAUAUUAAAUGAAAAUUAACAAUAUUAACGUAAUGUUUCUAUUAAAUAUUUUUCUCUUAUAUAUACAAAAAUCUAUUAAAUAGUCGAAUGUGUCAGUUUUAGAUUUUAUUUGUUUAUAUAUGCCAAAACAAAUUUUAAUGUACAUGUAUAGAAAAAUCGAUAUAAUAAAAUUUUGAAAACUGAUGAUUAUUUUUAAAAUAUCAAUAUGAAUGUAGUGUUUCUAUUAAGGAUAAUACUACUUGGCACGAUGGAGAGCAAGUAUGACACAGACAACUGUUUGAAGCCGUUAGAUAACUCAUAUCAACAACAUGUUUUCUAUUUUUUUUACUUAUCGUAUAUCUUCCGCUUUUUUCUUUCUUUCCGCUAUCACUUUAAUAUGCAUGUCGUUUAAUUUCGUGUGGUUUAGGUAUUGUGCUGUAUAACAUUUCCCUUUUUUUUUUUUUGUUAGAUAGACGAAAUGGCAAAGCCAUUAUAAACUCACACACACAAGUGGAGGUACCGGGGUUCAAAUCCCGGUCAUGGCAUCCGGCCUAACAAUUUCGACAUUUUGCCAGUUGAGUUAGGACUUCUGGAUAUUAAAUCACUUCUAAUUUAAUACGCAAAACACCGUUAAUAUUUGUACUCCACUCGUUUAGGAUUUUAUAUGUUUAUAUACUCAUAAGAAAUUUUUUAUGUAGCGAUAUGCGAUAGUCGAUAUGAUAAAUUUUUUAAAAUUUGUGACUAUUUUUAAAAUAUCAACAUUAUUAUGGUGUUUAUAUUAAACAUUUUUUAUUUUCUAUAUAAAAUAUCGUUAAAUAUUUUCACCACACCUAAUUACAGAUUGUACGUGCUUGUAUCUCAAAAAUCAAAUUUUACAUAUACCGUCGAUAUGAGAAAGUUUAUAUGCUUAAAUUAAAAACUAAUUAUUAUUUUAAAAGAUAUCAACGGAAUGUAGCGUUUUUUUGAAUUUUUUAUAUGCAAAUUAAUGAUAUUAAGAGAUUAAAGGAAAAAAAUAUAUAAACUCACUUGGAUUGGUCUGGUGGUAUUGACUUGAGAUUUGGGAGUGUGUUCCUCCUUAGAGUAUAAAGUAUCGGGUUUGAUUCUCUUCGAUGUCAAUUUAGGUAUGCUAAUUUAGCUUCAUAACAAAAAUUAAUAUAUAUAUCCAAUGAUCCAAAUUCAUUUUGUAAUGAAAAAAAAGGAAAGGUCUCCGAGUUAGAGACUUACACGUGUUGUUUGCAUGCAAUUUUAAAAAAAAUAAAAAGUUAUUUGCAUGUAUGUAUGUUUAUUUUGUCCCGUGAGCAUAACUCAGUUGGCAAGACAUGCAUUAUUAUAUGCAGGGGUUGGGGUUCGAAUUUCAGACACUCCACUUAUUCACAUUAGAAAAAAAGUGAAUUCUAACCAUUAGACUAACUUAAAAAAAAAUGUAUGUUUAUUUUAAAUAAAUACUUAAUAAAUUGAUAACUUUAUUUAACAAAAAAAUUGAUAACUUUAUUAAAUGUUAUCCUUCAUAAAAAACUUUAUUAAGUGUUUGCAAAUUAAUUAUGUGUCAACUGGAAUUAGAUUUAGCCGAAGAAAUUAAACUCUCGGGAGAUAUUGUCUCUAAUAAGAUUAGCUCUCACUAAUAUUUAUUUAUUUUUGAAAUAAUUAGCUAUCACUAAAUGAAAACUUAAAAAAAAAAAUUAAAAUGAAUUUGUGUCUAGGUAACUUAUAGGAAUAACCUUUUUUUUUUGUAAUAAAUUGCAUCAUAUCAUAUUUGUUUGUAUAUUUAAACAAUUUAAUGUUAAUGGUCACAAUGUAUGAUGUCCACGAGAAGAUGACAUGUACCAUACCAUAUUAUGAAAUAUAUCAUUUUUGUUUGCAUAAAAAAUUAGUCACUAACAAUAGCAAAAAGGUCCUCUCAACCGAAAGCAUCAAACAUUUUCAUCCAGGUGAUGAUACAUUUGUAGUUUUUUUUUUUUUUUGCUUUCGCAUCGGUUUUCGACCCACCAAUGGUGGACGAUUAAUCCGGCUAUGCGUAGAGGUAUGCGCACUGACCAAGUGUUGUUCUCCCUGAAAAUCGAACCCUAUAUUCCCCGGAUACGUCCUUGAGCUCCUUGGUUGAUACAUUUGAGUUUUUGAGGGAAUACAUUUGAGUUGUAUUCUGUUUAUGGUGAGAUGUUUGAAAGAAAAAAAAAAGGCGAGAAAUUAGAUUGGCCGAGUAUCAAUCAAAUUAGAUUCGCUAUAUCGACACAGAGUGUACGAUUUUGGUUUUAAUAUUUUAGGUUUUGAUGGUGUCAAUGGAAUUCUUUGUCUCCUUUAUACGAUACCAUAUUACGGAAUAUAUCAUUUUUGUUUGUACAUUAAAAAAGAAAAUUAUGUUAUCGAAUCAAACCACUAAGAAAUUUAAGCUCAUUCCUUCCAACCCUUUUGUAUUUUGGACCUAAUUUGAGUGUUUUGCUUAACCAUCGUGAACUUGGUUAUGAUUCUGUCAACAACGACUAUAAAGCAAUGUUCCAUGGAAUAGUUUGUUGAGAAAUUAAUUCCAUCCCCCAUAUGUGGGAGAAUAAGUUAUAAAAAAUAAAAUAACAUUUUAAUCCCUUUUGACUUUGACUAAAACCCUAAUCUUGAAUCUGAAAACUCCAACUCUUCUUCCCUUCCCACGACACAGAAGAAUGGAGAGAUGUGUGGCUGCGUUGUCGUCAAAUUCAAAUAAACAGAAUGUAAAGGUAAGAAGAAGCCAAUCACAUAUUCCUAAUGAUCUUUCCUUCUCUAUUCUUUCCAAAUUACCUAUAAAAUCAUUCAAGCGUUUUGGUUGUGUACGUAAAUCAUGGUCCCUUUUAUUAGAUAACCCUUAUUUCAUGACCAUGUACCGCUAUCAUUUCGUAACAAAGGAUCAUUCUUAUUAUGAUGAUACCUCUCUCCUCCUACACCAAAUAUUAACUCCUUGGGGCCUCCACCCUGGCUGUGACCGUUAUCCUCACGAUGAUACAUUUGAGUUGUAUUCUGUUUCCGGUUCGAGUUUUGAAAAUAAGGUCAAAUUAGAUUGGCCAAAUAUCAAAUUAAAGCCGGGAUAUUAUAGGGCUGGAGUCAAAUAUGAGCGUGGUUUUAGGCUUUUAGGUUCAGGUAGUGUCCAUGGAACUCUUUAUAUGGUUUGUGCACACAACGGGAAUUUUAUAUUAUGGAAUCCAUCUACUAAGGAAUCUAAACUUAUUCCUCCUAGCCCUUUUGAUUCUGAACCUAAUUGGCGUUUUUGUGUUAUUCAUCGUGGAUUUGGUUAUGACAGUGUUCGAGAUGACUAUAAAGUGAUAUGUUAUGGAAAAGUUUCAAGAAACUGUUAUGGAGUAUUUACCGAAGAAGCUAAUUGUGGCUCCUAUUUAUGGGAGAUAUAUAGUGUAAGAAGAAACUGUUGGAGAAAACUUGAUGUCGACAUGCAUAAUAAGCAUGAUAGUUGUAACCAUCAACAAUUGUACGUCGAUGGACUCUCACACUGGAUGUGUUUUGGUGAAACAUGUCAGGAAAGAUAUAUGUUGUCAUUUGACUGGAGCAACGAGAUUUUCCUUACAACACUCAUACCCCCCGCCCCCAUCUCCAACAUAAAUGGUCGUCUUGAAGAUUUUUGGGGGAUGAAACAGUUGUUCCUAUUAAACGGGUCUAUUGCUUUCAUAGUAAGUUAUAAAGAGACAGGUACAUUUCACAUUUCAAUUUUGGGAGAACUCGGUGUAAAGGAAUCAUGGACUAAGAUCUUUAUUGUAGGGCCCUUUCCUUGCCUUGAGUAUCCUAUCGGAGCUGGAAAGAAGGGCGAUAUGUUGUUCCGGAAGAAAGACGGCAAAUUCGCUUGGUUUGAUUUAAAUACCCAAACAAUAAUUGAGGAGUUUGGUGUUAUAACACAGAUGCUUGGAUGUCAGAUAACAAUUCAUAAGGAAAACCUUCUUCCUUUUGAAGGAAAAAGUAUUUAAUAGGCAUUGUUUUUUGGGUUUCACUUUGGAUCUUGAGCAUCUUGUGCUAAGAUGUGUUUCUAACUAUUUGGCCUACGUUUGUGUCAUUGAACUAGGAUGUUUAAUUUUACGUCAUUAUUGGAUUAUGUUACUGAGGUAGAAUCAAUGUACUGAUGCAGAGAAUACAAUGGACUGUUAAUGUCAUCUGUCUCAUGAAAGUAUCAUUUUCUUUUUAUAAGUGAAGGUUUGAUUACAGUUCUGUUUUUACUUGUUUACUGUUCUAUCAGAAUAUCAUUAACGAGUAAACCCUCAAUUUAGAUCACUCUUCUAUCUAGUCUUUAAACAAUGAACACACAAUAAAGAUGACUAUAUACAAUUUGGUAAAAUCUAUCGAUUUUGAUUGCGAUCUCUUUGAGUCUUAAAAACUAAUGGUCUAGGAGGAAAUUAAUAAGAGUUUGUCAUUGUUAUGAUUUCUCAAAAUUUACUUUGACUUUAAUUUUAUCUCCCAAAGAUGAUACUCUGAAGCUUUGGCUAAAUUUACUAAACUUAUCCAAAACCAAAAAUAAUUAAAAAUUAUUUCUUGAAGAAGUGACCAUGGUGGUUAAUUUGCUAACGCUCCUUUUUUUUGUCAUGGGUCUACACACAGAAAUAGAAAAAAGACAAAAAAAUCAAGAGGCAAAAACAUCAAAAAUUUUGGUCAUUUAACAAAUAUGUUUAUUUAUGUCAAAAAGAAAAAUAAAAAAAAUAAUUCUAUUGUACUCAUCUUGUCUGAUUCAAGGAAGGAAUGUUGGCAAUUUAUCAACGUAGGAAUCCCUAGGUUUGUAAACUAACAUCAAGUUCUUUUGUUAGAUUACUUUUCCAAAUAUAUCCACCCUUAAUCUAAGCCAAGUUAUAACCCAUACAAUCCUCAAAGUGUGUAUAUAUUUUAAUUUUGGCUGUCUGUUUUAAAUUGUCUGAAAUUUACUGCAAGGUACAUUCAUGUGACAACUGGAGUGGCCAGAUGUUGUGACCAACCCUAUUGGCUUCGGGUGAUACAUACGUGUAUUAUGGAAAAGAGUAUGGCUGAGAAUAUGAGCUAUUUUAUUGUUCUCAAAUAAGUAACACGAAUUGUUUAGACGAAACAACAAUCCAUGUUGAUUUGAUUCUCUACUUAUAAUUUUAUUAAUUGGGAAACUAUCUGGUACACUUGCCUAAUCUGACUACAAUCCACUUGGAUACGACAAAUUCUAAAUAAUUACUUUUUAUCAUAAAACUACAACUAUCAACAACCUAUGUUGCAUUCAUAACCAACUAUUCCUUUGGAGUUGUGAUAUGCAUUGUUAGAUUAUCGGGUUUCGUAUAGUUUUGAUUACACAAAUGAUUAUGUCUUUCCUCAACGAUUCAUGCUUAUGCACUUAAAAUCCUAAAUCUCUCUACCCUUUUCAACCAUCACUUGAAAUAAUAAAAAAUAUAAAUCUUUAGACAUAAAAUUAAAUUAAUAGUUUACAAUUAAAAGGAUUAUUUUUUUACUCUUAAAUAUUAAAUAUAUUCUUAUUAUAACUGAUAUUAUUUAUAACUUAGUUGGGACAAAGAUGAUACAUCAAAAUUAAGAGACGAAAUAAGACAAUCUAUAAUUAAAAUAAUCUUUAGUACCACAAUUCAUUUCAUUAACAACAUCUAAGAGUAAAAAGCAAUAAUUUACAAAAUAAAAUAUAAAUUAAAAUACAAUUACUGCAUUUAAAACCUCAUUUUAAUUACAAUUCUACAUCCUCUGUCGAUGCACUUAAAAUAUAAAGGAGGAUUCGAAACUUUGGGACAUUCGUCAUCAGUUUUACAUUUCAUCCAGUCAUCUGCAACGAAAAAAGGAAAUAAAACAUAUUACUAAACCAAAAUAAAAAUUUGUACAGUAACUGCAAAUUAUAGAAGUAAAAUUCAAAAGGUUAAACAUAUUGCUUACUUUGAGCUGCUUGUGAGACAAUAAAUAGGGAUAGAAAUAAAACCAAAGCAUAAACAAACUUGAUAAUUUUAGUCAUAUUAUUUUCUCUUUGUAUGCAACAAUUUGUAGUUUAGAACGCUCAUACAAUGUGUUAUAUUUGACCCUUUUCACACUUAUUGUUUGUCCCUUAAUGUGUUGCGUUUGAAAGGGGAAAUGUAUUUUUAAUUAACUUCUCAACCUUUCAUGAUAUAGAAAUUCAUAUGAAUAGCAAACAAUUGGUGUGACAAUAUAGUUAUGCACAAGUUAAAAUUGAAGGAUUUUUUAAUAUAUUUAACAAAGUGAUAUGAUAAAAUAAAUUGCACUCUUCAAGUCAGUGCCAAACUCUAAUUUUUACUCACUUAAUACUAAUUAUUUCUCAAUACCUUUCAAAGUCUCGAAGUAGUUAUUUAUAUACAAGGAUAUGAAACAAAAUUUCCUAUUAUUACUUAUAGCAUAACAAACGGGUCAUAUUUCAUUGAACGUUAUAACUGCAUGAAAAAGGCCAUUUUGCUUCAAAUUGUUGUCGAUAUUGUAAGACAGUUGGGCACUUGAUUCAAAAUUGUCCCAAUUGUCCUGCAUGAUUGAUGAAAGGUCAUCUUACGUUAUUUUUAACUUUGUUUUUCAAUCAUUUUUAGUAGGUUUUAGCAGCAAAAAGGAGGAGUAUUAGUAAGAUAGCCUAUGAUUUCAAGACUUUUGUAAUGUUUUCUAUAUUUGAGUAUGUAAUUUUAGUUUUCCCGAAACACAACAAUUUUAGGGAGUUUUGAAGUAAUUCAUGAAGAAAUCAUGCAAAUCGGCAAAUCAAGAACAACUGAAGAAUUGUCAAGACUUUAGGAAGACAAAGAAUGAAGAUUCAAGAGGCCUCAAGAGACUUUACAUAGGAAGGAAUUAUGUUUCCAAGUUCCGGGCAAGUUAUUUGAAGACGAAGACCUAAAAACGACGAAGAUCAGAGAAAUUGGGUCCGAAAGCACAAUCAAAUGCGCCUAGGGCAUGAAAUUACAUUACCAUGCGCCUAGGGCAUGCAAUAUGCGCCUUAUGCAUUGCCUAAAGGUAAUAUGCGCCUCAAGCAUUUGCUAUGCGCCCCAAGCAUCUCAAAAUGCAGGGGCGCAGGCGUAAUUUUAUUCAUUUUUCGGGGUUUAGCCCGCGUUUUUAGUCCAAACCCAGUUAUAAAUCUCAACUAUAAAUAAUAGCCUUCCUCAUUCAGAAUUUCUUGUUCAGAACUGUGACAGUUCAAGAGGAAGGCUAGUUUGGAGCUUCGGGAGAUAAUCUUUCUUCUUCUUGAUUUUCUAGGGUAUGUUUUUCUUUUUUGUAAUUUAUUUUUAGUUACCAUGUGUUACUAAAUCUUUUUAGGUUAGAGUUCUAAGAUGAAUCUUUAUAUAUUUUUGUUGGAUAUUUAUUUAAUUUAAUAUGUCGUUUAUUUUAUUUUAUUUAUUCUUUUGUUCGCUAUUAAGUUUUAUUAUGAAAUAGUUUAUUUUUGUGAUAGGUGCAACCCUAGAUUAGGUACUUAGGUUGUGACAGGGCCUAAUAUUUUUAUCAUUAACUGGAUGCUUAUAUCUUGAUAUUUAUAUCCCUUUUCUGAUUACUAUAUAUAUAAGAAGUAAGUGAUUAUUAACUAGUCAAAGAUACCAUAGGAAUUGUUGAUUCUAGACGUAGGUACUCAUUUGAUGAUGCCCACUAAGUCGGGUGGUACCUUACCGAACCUAGGAAUUAACUGGUUAGUAAUUAGGGAACCAAGCACCUAGCUGUCUGAUUUAAGCUAUAACCUAAUAGAACCAUUCUCUUGAAACCCUUGGUAAGGUAGACGUAGAUUAGGGAUGCCCGUUUGUAGAACUAUUAAGAAAGCGUAGAGAGAGUGUGCUAUGAGUGUCCUAAGAUUCAUAGAUGGGCACACCUAAGGGAACCUUGUCCUUCAUUGCCUUGGGAAACACUAGAAAGACAAUUUAAGCUUAUGUUUCAAUUACCUUUGAAUUAACAAGACCCCGCACGUAAGGAUCACCGUGCGAUCAUCAGGUGCAGUUAGCCAUCGGAGGGAUAAACCAAAGUAGGUUAGUAACGUCCCAACGACCUCAUCACUUGUAUAGUCUACAUAAGAUAAAUAAACGCGACAUUUAUAUUACUUAUUAUCCAACAACAUUUAUAUCACUUGUAAGCCUAUAUAGUUUUACUUUAUGUUUUUUUUAUGAUGUUCUUUAGUUUACCUUUUGAUGAUCGUCUUGUUCUUCAUUUUUCUAGCAUAUAGCAUGUUAAAGCACCCAACAUCUAGUCUCAUUGUCCUAGGAUUCACGUGUGUCUUGUGCAUUGCUAGCUUAUUUGAAAAUUAUCCAAUUCUCAUCUUUUCACUAGCUGAAUCGAUUCAUCAUACUUUGAAUCGUAUCAUCUGAAGUUUCUGACUUCAAAUGAAACGAUUCACCAAAAUUUGAAACGCAUCACCAUUGAAUCGAUUCUUCAUAUUUUGAAUUGCAUCAUAAAAACUUUCUGACAUGCAUGGAAUUGAUUCAUAAAAGGUUGAAUAGUAUAUUUCUUCAUCCUUGGCUCACUUGAAUUGAUUCAAAUUUUCACUGAAUCAUAUCAAUCUUCAUAGAUCUCUGGCUUGUAUUUUUGCUGUCUGAAUCGAUUCACACAUUUAGUGAAUCGAUUCACUUUGUUGCUUUUGGUUGAAAUUUUACACCUGCCACUCCUCUCUAUAUAUACUCACCUCCUCAUAACUCCAAUUAUUCAAUCAUUUGUACCUAUUCUCUCUAGGUCUCAAAAACUCAUUGUUCAUAAAUUCUUCAAGAUUAAACACUUUUUCUUAGAAUCUCCUUGUACAUUGAGUCACAUGGAUUUUAUAGUGGGCUAGUAGGGAUUGUAAGUUGGUUCUUUAUAGGAGAUUGGUUUGGCUUAAUCAAGGCUCCAAAGUGAAGUGAAUAAUCUCACUCCACCUCCAAAGGUCUUGGGGGGUAUUUAUAAUUGUUCUUGCAAUCGAAGAGGAAUCGUUUACCGGAUGUAGCAUCAAAUACUUGAGUGAAGCGUUCGAAGAGGAGCAUGGGUAAUCAAGGAUUCGAAGAUUCAAGAAGCACCAAAUUCAAAGGUUAUUUGAAGUUUGGGGGAGUGCUUACAUAGGAGUUGAAGAACUAGGAUAGUUUCAAGGAACUCUUGUAAUCACAUUUGUAUUCAACAUUAUUACUAUUAGUGGAUAACCUUGGUGGAUGCGUUUUUCACCAAGAAGAGUUGACGUAGCUCAAAGCGAGGACGAAAGAGUGAACAACUAUAAAAAUAUUGGUGUCGUUCUCUUUUCCUUAUCCUCUUUAAUUUCCGUUAAUUGUAUAUGUCAAUUGAUUAAUUGAUAGUGUUGAAUUUUUUUUAAUUGAUCUAAGUACUUUUUGAUAAAAUUGAUCUAACUCCUUGAGUUAGGUUUUUACUAUUGAACUUGGAUUAAUUAGUAUCAAAUUCUAUCCAAUUCAUCAAUUGCUUAUAAAUUUUGUUUUUGAUUGAUAGCUUAUUAUAUUUUCUUAUAGGUUUGGAUUUGAAAUUGUCUAGUUUUGCAAAUUAUUCAAGAACUAUUAAUAUUUGAUUGUAAUAAAAUUUAUGUUGUCAAUCUCUCAGUUAUAUAUUGAAUCUUAUUAGCAUAUAGUGUUUAUCUUUUUGUAAUUGUUGUGAUUGUUCAAUCUUGUUUUCAAUUAGUCAAAACAUUUCAAAUAGAUUUUGAAAACUCCUUAAAAAGUUUCAAAAGAGCUAUUCACCCCUCUCCAACUAGUAACAUUAUUGGCCAUAUAGACCAACAACCGCUUUUGUCAUUCAUAAUUUCUAGUUCAGAACAGGAGCAGUUCAAGAGGAAGGCGAUUCUAGGAGCUUAAGAAGGAGUUUUAUCUUCUCCUUAUCUUUUAUAGGGUAUGUUUUAAUUUUUUUUAGUUUGUCUUAGUUAUCAUGUGUAAACUAGAUAUUUAUAGGAUAGGUUUCUAAGAUGAAUAUCUAUUUGUUUUGCUGGAUAAUUAUUUAAUUUAAUGUCGUUUAUUUUUGUUUAUUUUAUGUUCGCUAUUAAGUUUUAUUAGGAUUACUUUAUUUCGGUGCAGUGCAACUCUAGUUUAUGUACUUUGGUUGUGACAAAGCCUAAUAUUGAUGCUUAUAUCUUGAUAUUUAUAUAUACCUAUCUAGGAAGCAAGUGGUUAAUAACUUGACGAAAAAUAUCGAAAGCGAGUUGACCCUAGUAGUAAGUACUUAGGAGGUGACAUUACUAAUAUUGAGUAAAAUCUGCUAAAUCUAGGAUGUAACUAGUUAUUAAUUAGGGAAACAUGCAUAGUCUACUUAAGAUAAUUAAACGCAACAUGAAUCUUAUUUACUUCCAACAAAAUAUAUAUGGGGGAAUCGAAGAGUCUUAACCGCUACUUACUUUACUGCAACAAAACAAGUAACUUGCUCUGUUUCAAACAACUAAAAAUUGAAAUCGCUAACCCUUAACUCUUUUAUUUUAUAUCGUUAAACUAAAAUAAGUAACGUGAAUUGUUUAGGCGAAACAACAAUCACUUUAUUACUUGAUAAACGAUUUGGUACACUUACCUAAUCCGUCCAUCAAUAACCUACAAUACAUACACCCUCUCUAAUGAUACAAUCAGUAUCUCAGAGAGAGAGAGAGAGGGAGGGAGGAAGGGAGGGAGGGGAGGAGGGAGAGAGAGGGAGUGUGUGUAUGUUUGUAAAGGUGUGAAUUUUGAUAUCAUACCAGCGCAUAGCGGUGAUGCCACACUUCUAUAGUCGAGCUAGUUAUAACCAUUUGGUGAGACGAAAUAAGACAAUCUAUAAUUAAAAUAAUCUUUAGUGCCACAUAUCAUUUCCUCAAUAACAUCUAAGAGUAAAAAGCAAUCAUUUCAAGGUCUGUGAAUUUACAAAAUAAAAUAUAAAUUAAAAUACAAUU
Molecule: long non-coding RNA, 61008 nt
Filed under: Medicago truncatula (barrel medic)
Lineage: Eukaryota; Viridiplantae; Streptophyta; Magnoliopsida; Fabales; Fabaceae
Description: long non-coding RNA (MTRU_LNC003314)
Source: RNAcentral